GUGCACACGGGUUGCAGACAGGAAGACGGGGACAAAGUAGCCCCGAGCGAGCGUGGAGAAGCUGCGACCAGGUUGAGCGCUUGGCCGGGGAGAUGGAGGGAGAAGGGGGUGCGAACAGGAAGAGGUGCUAUGGCGUCGGAUGAGGCGAGGAGGCGGCGGCGGGAUGCUCCAUAGCUGGCUAGGGUUUGGCACGGGGGAUAGGAUGGAUGGAUCACUGCUCCAUUUGGGCGGUGGCGGGUGGGGGGAGGCCGGGAGGGACGUCCCUGUGGCUGGCCAACGCGAGACAUGUCCUUUUUUUCCUCACCUAUGUGUCAUCCUCCAGAUUCUAGAAGGUCCGCGUCGUUCGCAAGCCACUCCAGAUUCUAGAAGGCUCAGCGUCGUUCGCAAGCUGUGGCUGGAGGCUGACUCUAGCCGUAGAUUCACAAUCGGGUGGAGCACAAAAAAAUGGACGACGUGGAUAGCGUCGUAGCUUCCGUUUUGAACCGGCUUUAAAGAAAUAGAAACUUUGUGCUCAAUCAGGUUUUAUUCAGGUUUUAUUCAGAAUUUUGCACCACACAGGUAGAUGGAUGAUGCAUAUAUAUAUGCAUCAACAUAACAUACGCUAUUAUAUUUCUAAUGGGAGCAGCAGCACACUUUGUGCUCCACGCUUUCGUCACACCAGCCACCGUCCUUGAAACCCUUCGAGCUACAGAUCAAGCGGCAGUUCUGGUGGUCCUCGGAAUAGGACGAGAAGUAUGGCCUUCUCGGUGGCGGCGGUGACUUCUUGGGUUUCCCGAUGCCUGCACACACAUCGCAGUCCAAACGAGAUCGGCCGGUUAAUUAAUAGAUAAUUAUCGCCGGCUCUUAGAACGAAAUAGUAACUAUUGCGUAAGUAUUUAGAAGUAGAGAUCGAAGGUGCCUACAGCCGCCGGCUUCGUAGCAUGGAGACAGUGAGGACAGAAUGGCAACAGCCAACAGAAGCGCGACGAUUGUGCUGCUCUUCAUCACCGCCAUAAGGAAAGAUGAUCAAGCUUCCCUUAUUACCACGAGCUAGUGACGAAGAGAGAUUAUAUGAUUUGUUUGUUCUAAUCUCCGUCUUCGAUCUCACUUGUACUUAUAUAGAAGACGAAUCCAUCUCUAGCACAUCUCAUUUGUGCCAGAAGAUCUAGUUAUAGAUAUAGAUAGAGAUAGAGAUAUAGAAAUUUUACAUAUAGAUAUAGUUAUGGAUAUAGAUAUUGGGAUAUGUUGUUGUUGAUAUAAUAUGAUGAUAUUGGUUUAGUCAUACAAAGACAACCAACAUAUUUGCAAUGGUUGUUCUUCCACUACUAAUUAUUUUGCAAUCUAAUAAGAAGAUAUUAGACAUUAAUCCAUAAAUGCUUAGACGAAACAUACCUAAGCUUGGAGGUGCGUCUACAUAGCAUAGACACUACCAGAGUCACAUGCUUUGCCGAGUGCCCCAUGCACUCGGCAAAGCCAGAAAUACACACAGUAAACCUUUUGCAGAGUGUCACACCCGGCAAAGGGUAAACGGCAAAAAAAUCAUUGGCAAAGGCGGUUCAACCCUAUUUAGUCGUUGUCACAAUCGCUGCUGUUGUUUCCAGCCGCCACCAUUGUUUCCAGGCCGUGUCCAACGGUUCACCCCGUUGUCUCUCUUUCCUGUAUACUCGGUGUAUGGACGUCUGGAAUGUGGUCCAACGAUGUGUGAUGACACCGAAGGAAAUCAACAGAAGGCGGGAAGGAACCAUGGCUACUAGGAGGGUUCGAUGUCAAGUGAAGCCCAACUCUCGCGUCCAUGGGCCAGAUUGGACCCAAUGAGUGUUUUAGUGUUUUCUUUUUGUUUUGGCAUGUGGUAUAAAGAAAAGGACUUUAUGAAUCGCCAAGGGCGGCUUGGGGCAUAAGUUGAGGCCGACUGCGUUCGGAAAGGGAGGGCUCUUCCUCUGUAACCUGAAUCAUGAAUUCCAGUGAUAAUUUGAUACUUCGUGAGAGGUGGAGGGUACCAGGAGCCGUGCUCGUGAUCCAAAUCAUGUCUUUGUGUUCAUCGGCUCUGUUACCUGUUCCAUGGUUCUAUUACAAUUGGUAUCAGAUUCCUGGUUCCUGAUCCUGGUGAAACCUCUAGAAUAUAUUCUUCGCCCUUAUUACAAUACAAGAAACCAGAAGUAGUUAGAAGCGAUGGAGAAAAUAUCAUUGAUCUAUCGGUGCUCUUGCUGAACAUGCAACUCUAGAGUGAAUCAAGCAAGCAAAAUAAUAUGUCAAAAGAAACAUGAUUACAUGACUGCCUAUCUGUCCAAGAAAAAUAAUUGAGAUUGUUUAAGAAAAAUAAAAUGCAUAACUGUCUAACUGUCCAAAAUGCACAACUUGUAAACUCUUAAGAUAAAAUAUUUUUGUCAUUGUAUUGGCAUUAGUAAUGUCUAAGAAAUGUGAGUGAGUUAGUAAGUUAUAAAAAUGCCACCAAUAAUAUUAUCUAAGUAAUGUGAGGCUGCCGGUAAGACCUACUCUUACUAAAGUCGCCAGAACACACAUGUACCUAACACUACCGUAAAGGAUGCAUCUCAUAUUCUAGUAGGUGCAGAACAUACACUAUCAGCACCAAGUCAAUGAUUUUGACACAUCAAAGUGUUACCGACCAAAACACACCUAAAUAAAAUUCAUCAUGCUUGCACAGACACUUCAGUUACGACUACACCAUAGAAAAUUCAAUUUUCAAGAUUGGAUAGAACCUAUCAGGCAAGAAGGGAUACACUACUGCAAAUUCAGAGAUGCAUAUUGCUCUAUUCAGGGAAUAAGAAAUACACUAAUUGGAUCUCAGAGAAGCAUUUGACAGCUCCAUUUUGAGAAGUGCAAGAUCUGUACCAUUUUUUUCAACCUUUUUUUACGCUGUUUUAGUUCCAUAAUAAUAAUAAUAAUAAUAAUAAUAAUAAUAAUAAUAAUAAUAAUAAUAAUAAUAAUAAUAAUAAUAAUAAUAAUAAUAAUAAUGGCAAUGUACGUAGGUGCAGUGUGUUCCUUUGACAUCUUACGUUUCUUUUUUCCUAAACCUUUUGCUCCAUAUAAUUUGCCACGUUUCGUUUCAGGACAUCCGGAAAAAAGCCAGAUUUUAUUCAGAAUUUUGCACCACACAGGUAGAUGGACGAUGCAUAUAUAUAUGCAUCAACAUAACAUACGCUAUUAUAUUUCUAAUGGGAGCAGCAGCACACUUUGUGCUCCACGCUUUCGUCACACCAGCCACCGUCCUUGAAACCCUUGGAGCUACAGAUCAAGCGGCAGUUCUGGUGGUCCUCGGAAUAGGACGAGAAGUAUGGCCUUCUCGGCGGCGGCGGUGACUUCUUGGGUUUCCCGAUGCCUGCACACACAUCGCAGUCCAAACGAGAUCGGCCGGUUAAUUAAUAGAUAAUUAUCGCCGGCUCUUAGAACGAAAUAGUAACUAUUGCGUAAGUAAUUAGGGCAUGUAUAGUGGAGAGACACAAAAACGGUUCUCCAAGCACAGGAGACAACUAAGAGACUCUAUUGUACAAUGGAGUGUCUAUAAACGUAGUCUAUUAAUAAAUACAGAAUUAAAUGUAUUUGUAUAGCAUCAGAUCGAUAGAACAGACGACAAAUUCGUACAGUGGGAAGUGAGACGUCUGUUGUUACUUGGUUUACGAGCCAGAUGCGUCUCUUCACGGAGAGACGGCUCUAAGAUUUUUUUGCAAAUAACCCCCUAAAACACCUUAAGAGCCCCCACAUUAAACACCACUGUACAUGCCCUUAGAAGUAGAGAUCGAAGGCGCCUACAGCCGCCGGCUUCGUAGCAUGGAGACAGUGAGGACAGAAUGGCAACAGCCAAUAGAAGCGCGACGAUUGUGCUGCUCUUCAUCACCGCCAUAAGGAAAGAUGAUCAAGCUUCCCUUAUUACCACGAGCUAGUGAAGAGGGAAUAUAUGCUCUGUUUGUUCUAAUCUCCGUCUUCGAUCUCACUUAUAUAGAAGACGAAUCCAUCUCUAGCACAUCUCGUUUGUGCCAGAAGAUCUAGCUAUAGAUACAAAUAUAGAGAUAGAGAAUAGAAAUUUCACAUGUAGAUAUAGUUAUAGAUAUAGAGAUAUAGAAAUUUUACAUGUAGAUAUAGUUAUAGAUAAUGAUGGAGAUAUAGAAACUUUACAUAUAGAUAUAUUUAUAGAUAUAGAUAUUAUCAUAUAUUGUUGUUGUUAUGAUGUGAUCAUAGUUGUUUAGUCAUACAAACACAGCCAACAUAUUUGCAAUUGUUGUUCUUCCACUACUAAUUAUUUUGCAAUCUAAUAAGAAGAUAUUAGACCUUAAUCCAUAAAUGCUAAGAAGAAACAUACCUAAGCUUGGAGGUACGUCUACAUAGCAUACACACUACCAGAGUCACAUGCUUUGCCGAGUGCCCCAUGCACUCGGCAAAGCCAGAAAUGCACACAGUAAACCUUUUGCAGAGUGUCAAACUCGGCAAAGGGUAAACGGCAAAAAAAAUCAUUGGCAAAGGCGGUUCAACCCUAUUUAGUCGUUGUCACAGUCGCUGCUGUUGUUUCCAGCCGCCACUGUUGUUUCCAGGCCGUGUCCAACGGUUCACCCCGUUGUCUCUCUUUCCUGUAUAUUCGGUGUAUGGACGUCUAGAAUGUGGUCCAGCGAUAUGUAACGACACCGGAGGAAAUCAACAGAAGGCGGGAAGGAACCAUGGCUACUAGGAGGGUUCGAUGUCAAGUGAAGCCCAACUCUCGUGUCCAUGGGCCAGAUUGGACCCAAUGAGUGUUUAAGCGUUUUCUUUUUGUUUUGGCAUGUGGUAUAAAGAAAAGGACUUUAUGAACAGCAAAGGGCGGCUUGGGGCAUAAGUUGAGGCCGACUGCGUUCAGAAAGGGAGGACUCUUCCUUUGUAACCUGAAUCCUGAAUUCCAGUGAUAAUUUGAUACUUCGUGAGAGGUGGAGGGUACCAGGUGCGGUGCUCGCGAUCCAAAUCAUGUCUUUGUGUUCAUCGGUUCUGUUACCUGUUCCAUGGUUCUGUUACAAUUGGUAUCAGAUUCCUGAUUCGUGAUCCUGGUGAAACAUCUAGAUUAUAUUCUUCGCCCUUAUUACAAUACAAGAAGCCGGAAGUAGUUAGAAGCGAUGGAGAAAAUAUCGUUGAUCUAUAGUUGGUCAUCGUAGUUGGUGAAAGUGGAUGGGACCGUGGUCCCAUCGCUCCCUAUUUAUCUGCAGCAUCAUAUGGGGUAGAUAUUCGAAUCGUCACAUUAAAUGUGUAUAUCUCCAUGGUUCCUGUGACCUUUGACUGAGGCUGAGAUCGGGGCUGUCCUCUUGUCCGAGACAGGCUAGGGCGAGGUGGAAACCGUCAUUCCGUGAAGACGGGCCCUUGGGAGAGGCGGGGAUUUCUUCCAAGCGCUGCCUUCACCCGAGGACAGGCUCGGACGAGGCAGAGUUUUGAGCGACUGUCGAGCGGGGUCUCGGGCGAAUCGUGAUUCAACCAUGCUCGACCUCGGGGAACGUGUCUUAUGAUUUUUCGGCAGUUAGGUGGUAAGGAUGUUUAGAGGCAUAAUCUGGGUACCCCUAAUUAUGAUACCCGACGCCAUGCAUACCAAUUCAUUUCCUAAAUUUGUGCAUAUGCAUUCCAAAAUUUUUAUGCAAAUGGAAAUAAAUGUGCAUACAAGGGGCGUGUGGGGGUGGAGGCGGUCAGGCCAGUCGAGUUAGAGGGAAGGUUUCACCUAGUGCAUGGCGGGGACACUCCAGACCACAUGCACCUGGUUGUUAGGUGUGGUCCAGGGGGUGGCUGGGGUUCAUGUAACUAUUGGAAGACGUGGACUCCCUAUAUAUAUAUAUAUAUAUAGUUUGUAUAUAUAUAUAUAGUUUGUAUAUUUGGAGCCCUGAGCUUUCAAUAACUAGAGGAAGCUCUGGUCCAAUCUCUACUACUUAUUAAGGCGGUAAGGGGUAGGCUGUCAUUCCGUGUUCUGUCAUUCCCAUUCCCCUCUCCCUGCAAAGCUUAUUCCCAUUCCCGACUGUCACGCUGUCAUUCCGUGUUCUGUCAUUCUCAUUCCCCUCUCCCCGUAAAGCCCAUUCUCAUUCCCGGCUGUCACGCUGUCAUUCUGUGUUCUGCCAUUCUCAUUCCUCCUUCCCCACACUGGGAUUUGAACCUGCGACCCCUCAAACAAAUAUGCUCGUAGCUACCACUACACCACAUGUGUGUUUAUAUCAACAUCUAUCACAGUAAAAAUAUAUACUACAUCUCUCCCAAAGCCCACCUGCUACCCUUGCAUCCAAUUUCUUUUGUUUAAAUAAUGUUUUCAACUUAAAUUGCUUUUUUAUAUGUGUGUCAUUUAUUCUCCAUAAUAUUUUCCAUGAAUCUAACUUGUGAGUCAUUUUCAUAAACCAACGCCAAAGAUGAAUCCAUGUUUCUUACUUGUAAACCCCGAACAAACACCACUGGCAGGAAGCGCUCGCGUUGGCGUCGCUCAUCGACGACGAGAAGAAGCUUGGAGGCUGCCAGUUCGACCUCUAGAAGCAGUACUACGUGGCCCGCAUGCGUCGCUGUGUUCGGCAAGCUCCGACGCAGCCGCUGCUUGGACGCGGUCCAGAGCGGCUGCACCGCGCUGUCCAUCUUCAAACAGGGAGACCUCAUGGUCGUCGCCAACGCCGGCGACUCUCGGGUUGUUCUGGGCACCGCAUCCGACAACGGCGUCGUCACGCCGUCCAGCUCAUCAUCCACCUGAAGCUGAACCUGUCACAUAAGUCACUACUGACCGGCCAUGAAUUCUUGUGCGCUGGGACGACGGCCGUUGCUGACGUUAUGUCAGUGUCCUCGAACAAGAUGUAUGUAGAGGAGUAGCACAUCCGGUGGUGCAACGGUUAGGCGUACUACCUCGCUGAUGAGCCCGGGGUGCACUUCGUUUGGCAGCCCAGCCAAGAGUCAUCGGUACUCGCCAUGUUGUGCGCGUUCGACGACUACUAUAUCAAGGACUAUGGCGUCAUCUUGGUGCCAGAGGUUACGCAGAGGAGGACUGACAGCAAUAACCACUCGCCAUCGUCGAGGUAGCUUUUGUGCUGGUCUGCCUUUAAAUCUCUUCGCAAACACAUAUACUUGCCUUUUUUUGUUUAAGCAAGCGUGUAUGGUGGUGUGUACCUGAUGACUGACAAUGUACGAGGGAACUUCUACCAGCAGGUGUGGCAUGUGCUCUUCAAUGAUGAGACCAUGCAAAUCGUGGUAUAUAUCAAAGUCUGCAUGAUACUGAUGGUUGGAAUGUAGUAGUGAAACAGCUAAAUUAAAAUAACAAAUUUUAUGUAUGGCUAGGAUUACAAAUGGAUUAUGAAAUAUUUUCUUAUAACAAUAUAAGACACAUUUUGUAUAUAAGUUAUUAUGUUAUUAUAUGUUCCCGUUGCAACGUACGGGCACUCACCUAGUAGUAUGUUAUGGUUCAACCAUACUGUCUCAAUCGUUUCCAAUCCAACGUAACACAGGCCCAGCGACGGAUCUCAGGCCCAACCAAACUGGCCUUCGGCGGCCCAGCACAGCAGCUUAUCACGGCCAAAACCGCCAAACCCUAGUUGUGCAUGCAUAGCCCCUCACGCCAGCCGCCAACGCCCCAAUCCCGUAACCGCAGCCUCGCCCCGCUCACAUCUUCCUCUCCCUCUCAGCGCUGGUGCUCAAUCUAUAGGUCGUCCCACUCCCUACACACCCGCCCUCCGGUGUGAACCUCCAUGACGUCUGCAACCACUCUUCGGUAAGAAUCCCGCGUGCGCUUACACAGAGAUUGGUAAUAGUGGUGACCCAGUCGCAGCCGCGGACCUUCGCCUCCUCAUCGCUUGCUCGUUGUCGCCCUUUGCUUACGUCUGCACCCGACGCUGCUACCCUUUGCUCACCUGUUCAUAAUCCUUUCAGAUCUGCUGUCGUGACCUCAUCCAGCCGUGCUGUGGCAGUGGAUCGGAGUUCGCUCCAGCUCUGAUUGGUAAGGAACUAAGCAUGCCCCUCUCAUAUUUGCGUAGAUGCGUUGUUUGUCUCAUUCUACAGAAUCACUCUCCCAUAAUGUUGAUUUCUAUACGUAUUAAUGUUGGUUAGAGUAGGCAUGUGCAACGAAAGUUACAAGAAUGGUAGAAUUCUUCCAUGACUUCUGUAUGGUAGUGCUCCUAGAUGGUAUGCUGUAAAUUAGAUAUUACCUUGCAUCCUCCACAUCUUCACACAUAUAUAUGGUGUUUAUAGGGGGGAAAUGACUAGGGUAUCAAGUGGAAAAACAUAAUGGUCCAGGUUCUACUGCACCUCUUUCAGGCUAAGCAUCUAAACAACAAUAUGUAAAUUAUCCUUUUCCAAUAAAAUACAUGCUUAAACCGUGGCUGCUAGGCAAAUGGUCCUACUUUGGUCAUCAAAUGCAGGUUAGCUUAACUUUUUCUAAUGCAUUAUUAUUUGUGGUUUCCAUCACAUGUACGUCAGCUUAUCUUUUAGCAAAUUUGUAGCUGAUGUCAAUUAACUUUUUAGUGGAAUUUUAUCUGCUCAUUCUUAUAUUCAGGAAUUCCACUACUAUAUGUGCCACUUGAAGUUGUUAUGUCAAAAUAUUAUGGUGAAAGCGAGCGUCUAUUGGGAUCUAUUUUUUAUCUUGCAAAUGAUCUUCCUGAAAGAGGUAAUAUAUUCUUAGAUGAGGUAUAUAUCGUAAUACUUAUAGCAUAAGCACUCAAGCCACUACAAGUAAGCUCCUGCCCUUUGCUUGUUUCCAGAUUGAUAUGUCAAGAUACGCUUGUUUCACUUGAGCUCACUGUUAUCUGAAAAUCUAUAGACUGCCUUCGUCCCCUUCAUCACUACCGAUGACCGUGACUUGGCCACCACAGCAAAAGCACGCAGGAUCCUUGAUGUGUGUGGUCUAGACGUGAUUGAAUUGGGCGUGCCUGACUUUGAUCCAUUAGUUGAAUGUCCAGCAACUCAAAUUGUUUGCCUAUACAAUUUGUUCUUAUACUAUAUUGUCUAUGUAUGCUCCUGCUUCCUGCGUUUUGGUUUACACUAGUUUAGGCCUCCUCGACACGCGCUCUGGCGAAGUGCACCACAUUUGAGGAUGUCAUCUCCAUAGUAAAGUGGGUGAUACCUGACCUAUUUUGCCCUAACAUGUAGCACUUUCACAUAUUACAACCUGAUUCUUUUGCGUGGUACCCCCAACAUGAGCGUUGUUAUAACCUCAUUCUUGUGAUGUUCACUCCCAUUAAAAUACCAUUACAUUAAGUAGAUAAUCUGGUAAUAGGACAUCUAGAUAAUUUUGGUAAUUGACCUUGGGGGAAAAUGGUACAUCCAAUUACUGCUUACAAAUUGAUCUUUUUACGGUUCUGCUUAUCGCGUUUGUGCAUUGCGUUUUUUCGUUCAAUUGUUUUAGUUUUACAUAUUUUAUGUUAUUUGAAUAACUAUAGAUAUAUAUCCAAACUGCACUAGUAGAGAAAACUCUUAAAACGCAUGUCCCAAUAUAGAUAUAAUAUGAAGGAUUAUUGUGCUUAAACAAAUUUUAGAUUAUGGGCAUAGCCUACUUAGUUCAUACUGAAAUGAAUAAAUUUAUGCAUUUUCAAACUAAAUUUUACGACACUUCUUGUUGUGUUUUAUGUUUCUAUUAAAAAACAGUCUUACUGCGUUUUACACCAAAUUUAUGACACUUUUUGAUGUGUUUUACAGCAAUCUAGGUGCCACCAGUGUGGGCGCAACCCAUCACGAGGCGAUGCUGGCGAGCCAGCCAUAGCGCGACAUCUCCGUCCGCGUCGUUAAUCCCUAUGGGUGUGCAACAGCAGCGGUAAGAUUCCUUACUGGUCCCAUGUUCUUGCUCCCCUUUUUCUACCUACUGCAGCCUUGGUGUUUGAUGAAAUGUGCGUGUGGGCAAGGGUCUGUUGCAAAAUAAAUAUUCAGUAUUAGUGAUCAAUGUAGCGCUCACACUUUGUUUUCUUAGGUGCUUUGAUUAUCUGCUUCAAACAAAACAUGCACAACACUUACAAGAUAGUAUUGGUUGUAUUUGCUCAUAUAGAUCUACAACUAGUUGUUUCUUGCUAUGUUCAUUGUCAAGGUAGGCUAGUGCUUGAGAUUACUACUGAAAUGUGCCCAGUAUUGAGAAGUACAAAUUUAAGAUAAAUAAAGUGCUCCUUUUGACUAAACAAUAAAAUAAAAUACUCCAAAUUUGGAAAUUGUACCUUCUCAAAAUGCUUUAGAAGUCAUAACAUCAAUGCUCCACUCCACAUUAUGGGAUACGAUGCUUGUGGCUCCAGCACUCUAGCAGGCACAUCAAGUUGUGUUGGCCUAGGCUGGGAAAAUAGGGUGUAGGUAAUGGGAGCAAAAAGAUGGCAGGGAAAUAUGUCUGAUAGUUUGGUCUGGAACUUGGCCCCAUGUCUUGAUUCCAAUGUGUUUGUUUGUUCCUACUAUGUGAAAAUGAAGAAGAUAAAUGCUGGGAGAUGGCCUAACCAUCAUGUUGUUUUAUGGUGGUGUUAGUAGUUGGCUAAUUGCCAAAGGUGAUGUGUUAGGCAUGGGAUGGUUAGGAAGAAAGAAGUAACAAGCCUUAACAAAAUUGCAUAACACUUCUAGGGGCAAAGAUAACCUUUUUGUCGGACUCUAAUAUUCGGUGUACAUUAUCCUACCAGAACACGAGUAUAUUCUGUAAAAUUACAUCGCUUUAUUGUGUACCUGACAGAAUUUUGGUCAAAUGACAUUUUCGUGCUCUCCCAAAUAUGUACAUGCCUUAUAUUGUCUUGUUCUGCUAUGGCUUUGGCUACGAGAAUAAGAUUGCAUAUCUCGUGGCAGUAAUAUUGUGGGUGACUGAAGCUAAUAAGUUAUAAUGGUGUAUGGUUUCAGGUAUUCAACAUGUUAGGUAAAAGUAUCGAUGCAGACCAAAGAUUAACACUUGAUGGAGACAAGUUGACCACUGACCUUGCUGGUCUAUUUACUAGAACAUCAAAGAGUCCUGCAUACCAUGUUUAUGUCAUGAGAAGUAAUAGGAAGUAGAGGAUAUCUAGGUGGUUUUGGCAAUGUAUUUAGUGAUUUUAACCAUUCACCCUCUAAUGCAAAGGAAUACCCCCUUGCCUUGCCAUCACGAUUAUUUUGUCCUCUUUCUGUUGCCUUGGCAAGUCAAGAUUCUACAUAUGCAUAUUUUAAAAUUGCUGGACUCAUGUAUGCUAAAAAUUGUACUUAUUUACGCAGUUUUGAUUCUGUUUUAUGCUUAAAUCCAUCCGAGCAAGAACUUGUGCACUGUUGUAUGCACGUGAUUUUCACGCUGUAAUUUGGGUCUCAUUCGUCGUUACGAAACAAAACGACGAUUUACGCUAAAAUUCAUACCCUCGUUUUGGUUCACAUUUUACGCUGAAAUUCACCCGAGCAUGAUCGGACGUACGUGAAUUUCACGCCGUGAUUAUCGGGUCUCAUUCGCAGUUAUGAAACAGAUCUACGAUUUACGCUAAAAUUCAUACUCAUAUACGCUAUGUUGGUUCACGUUUUACGCUGAAAUCCACUCGAGCCAGAAUCGCGCGCGAUUUUCACGCCAUAAUUUCGGGCCCCAUUCACGGUUACGAAACAGAUCUAUAAUUUACGCUAAAUUCAUACUCAUUUACGCUGUUUUGGUUCACAUUUUACGCUCAAAUCUGCUCGAGCCAAAACCAGCACACGGUCGAACACAUGUUUGUACGCCACAAUGGUAUACCUGGCUGGGGCUUCCCGAUACUAAUGAAAGCCCAGGGCUCCCAUUACCAUCAGCCUAUAUAUAUAUAUACAUAUAUAUAUAUAUAUAUAUAUAUAUAUAUAUAUAUAUAUAUAUAUAUAUAUAUAUAUAUAUAUAUAUAUAUACUUUUAAAAUAUAAUAAAUAAUUUAAAGAUUUAUUAAAAUCUAUUUUUAUAUAUUUUAUUAUUACCAAAGGUAAUAUCAUAAAUCUUUUAAAAUAACAAAUUUAAAAAUAUAUUUUUAAUCUAAAAAUUAGGUUUCAUGUUUCAAAAAAAUAAUUUUUGAAUUUAUUUUUCACACAAAAACACCAUGCAUACGAUAAGAAUGCAACAAACAAGAAUCAUAUAUUAUGUAUAGAAUUAUUUUGUUUAUUUAAAAUUCAUGUCAUACACAAAUAUAUCUGGAAUAUUUUAUAAAAAUGAUAAAAAAUAUUUAUUUUCAUUAAUUGUUUUAGUAAUAACUCAAAAUGGAGAUUUUAGGGUGUAACAGCAAGGCAAGUUGCAAAGAGGUUCUUUCAAGUUGAAGAUCUAAAUUUUAGAGAGACCUUUACAUCAAACAAUCCAUGUGUAUCAUCCUUGCACAUACGUAUCUAAUCAUAACAUUAAACUAUUUUAAAUGGAUGUUAAAGUGCAUUUUAAAUGGUUUUAUAAAUAAACUAGUCUAUGUUGAUCAAGCUCUGAGUUUUGAAGACACUUGAUAUCUUAAUAAUUUGUUUAUAAUUUAUCCAAAGUGAUAUAUGGGCUAAAAUAAGCUCUAAGGACAUGUUAUAAUUAAGCAUCGUUGGGAUGGGAUUUCAUCCACUGAAAAGAGCUUUAAGAUCGAGGCAAUUGAUACCAUAUUGUUUACCAAGAAGCUACAUGAUAAUAUCUUCAUUUGUCAAUUUUAUGUUGACAAAACUGCAAAAUGCGUUGUUUGGAGCUCUAAACAUGCAAUUUGGCCACACGCCCACCCCGUCGUCGUGCUAAUCGAGAAAACGGAGGGACACAGGCGAACAGGUCAAAGCCGUCCUCGAACCAACAGCCAACAUCCCCGUGCCAGAUGUCGCGGCCGGCCGGCCGUCUUCCCAGCAAGCUGGAAGAGCACGACAAGAUACAUUCUUUGCGAGGCAUAUGCGCAAGGAACCAGCCCUGUCAUCUCCCGUUAAUCCCAAUCAGGCAGCCAGCAGCCCAGCAAUGGCUAGCUAGCUGUGUUCCUAGCUGCGUGCUAGCUAGUAGGCAGCCCCUGUACGAGCACAAGGGUAAUAGGUACGAGCUGCACUCCGGCAGCGCCGCCUGCGCUGUCGAUAAAACGGAACCUUGCUGGUGUCAAUGUGAGAACAUCUAGACAAUUAAUUAGACGCAAUUUGCAGGGAGACCAGCUUAAUAGCUUGUAGCUAUAGCCUGACAGUGACAGCAUAGUGAAGUUCAUUUCGCAGCUAACAAUGGCAGCCCGGAUAGUCGUCCUGAUCCUCCGGCUCCUCACCCUCGGCCUCCUCGCUGCCUCGCUCGUGCUCAUCGCCACUGACAAGCUCAACAUCGACGGCAGCGACGACUCGUCGGAGAACUACAUCGACGCCGGCGACAGCGACUUGUCGGUGAAGUACACCUUCAGGGACAUCCACGCCUACAGGUGAGAACGUACGCCAACCAACACGACGCUUCAUUCAACUGGUACGUACGAAGCGCAUCUCUGAACGAACACCAAUGGCGCCUCCGUGGCGUGGCAAACGCAAACCAGGUACGUCCUGGCCGUCGCCGUCAUCGGGUGCGCCUACACGCUGCUACAGCUACCGUUCGCGGCAGUCAGCAUCGCCAGAGGGAAGUCGGCCAACGUCGGCGGCGGCGGCGGCGUGGCCGCGGCGCUGGUCCUCGUCCUCGCCGACGUGGUCUUGGUCCUGCUGCUCGCGACGGGGGCCGCCGCUGGGUUCGGCUUCACCAGCGACGUGAAGCGCCUCUUGGACGGGCUGUUCGACGACACCAACGGGCUCGACCAGGUACAACUGAAAGUGGACAGGUUCUUCGACCUGGCCUCCGCCUCCGCGGGGCUCAUGCUGGCCGCCGCCGUCUCCAUGGCGCUCGUCGUCAUGCUCUCCGUCUACUCGCUCGCCAAGUGACAAUGACGAGAUGCGUGGAAAUAACCAGCCGGUUCGAGAUUUGUCUUCCUUUGUAAUAAGCUUUCUUUAUUUACACACAUAAGAACACGGCUAUGUACUCUUUUAAAUUGAGGUUGUCUUUCUGCUCUCUAUAUACAUAUAUAUCAAAAGAUAUAUAUAUUUAGAUACACACUAAAACAUAUAUAAUAACUAGUUAUCAUAUGGAUAGAGUUUGUUUUAAUAAAAUAUAAAAAAUAUGUAUUUUAUUGGUUAUAUGGUGUGAAUGUAGAGCCAACAAAUAAAAUUUAAACUCGCAAUUGUACACAAUUUUAUCUUAUUUUUGCAAAAGCGGAAAGGGUACGGUGAUGCAUGGUAACUGUCAAAUCUUGGAACCGUGAAUACUGUUGCUUUAUAUGGUUAGAGAAAUAAAAAACAAUUUAUAAUUUAUUAGAACAUAGUGAAUAUGAUGUUAAAUAAAAUUUUGACAUUUUUAACGGAUCAAAUAAACAACUAGCUCUGCCCGUUCAAACAUUUCAAAUCAUCAUAGUAUUAUAUUUAUCAUUUUAUUCUUGCAUAACUUUUAUUUUCCCUUGCAUAAUUUGAGUUUUAGGUUCAAAUAUUGUAAAGUGAUAACUGAUAUGUGUACCAUACUUUACCGAUAUAUUUAGGAUCUUUUUGCAAUAACCCUUGUUUGCCACGUAUGCAUUCCAUAUUAAUUAUAAUUAUAUAGAGAGAGGUCAGCGCUAGGUGAUGAUCACCCACCCUAAAAUGGCUUAGCAAACCUUUAUUAAUUGUUAAGUCAUUCGUGAUUUUUGUUAAGCCAUUCCAGGGUUGAUGAUCAUCACCUAGAGCGACGAACCGAACCGUGUUGUGUAAUAUAUAUAGGGCAGAGGUAUUCAUCACCUAGGGUGAUGAACCGUCUAGACCGACCCAAAUGAUGAUAGUCUAGAGGAGGGUGAAUAGGUAACUCCUGAAAAUGUUAACUAAAACACAAGGAGCAAUCUGAAUAAUCUAACUUUGGUGGUUAGGUGAGAACAAUAUAGCCAAAAAUAAAAAUACUUGCUUAUGCUGCUAGUAAAACUUAAGUGCAAAAUAAAAGACUAGCAACAAUAUGGUGCGAGAUAAAAAAACUCAAUUGAUGCAAAAAGCAUGUAUUAACUAUAAGAGAAAAUGCAAAUGCAAAUGGGAAGGAGAAUGCACAAAAAACUCAAGAUUUGAUUACUAGAGUUUGGCCUCACAAAGAAACAUAUGUAUUUGUUGAGGGGUUCAUAAAGAAUCAGGUCUUUUCAACCCUUACGCACACAAGCAAUCAUUAAGAUCGAACUUGAGUCAUUUCUUAUUCAAAUGGGUGAGAGCAAACUCUCACAAGGCUCUCCACACAAAGUCGUAGGUUCUUGAUCAUUUUACAAUCUUUGGAGCAGCAAGUCCACUCAAGAAUAAUCACAACAUCUUCUCUUUUUUUCUCAGAAUCACAACUCAACAAUGUGCCUCAAAACCAUUGUAUUUUUGGAGCUGUCAAAACUACAAUAUUGUCAUCACAAUUACAAAGUAUAGUAUUGUAAAACCAUGGUUUUGAGAAACAUUGUUGCCAAACAGGCCCUCAAGUGCUCUAGCAACUCUAUUGCUAUCUUAAGCUCUCACAAGUUGUCUAUACUAAUCACACUUUGAUUUUGGAGCACUUGGAUGGAUUGAAUGGUUUGGAGAUGAUCCUCUAUCUUGUAUGUGAUGUUUAUUAGCUCAUAGAUGGAGUUGUGCCUAGUUAGAGGGGUAUAUAUAGGCUGGCUAUCUCAAAAUAGCCCUUGGAACCCCACUAUCGUUUCUACAUACUCACUAGACACGUCCGAUGGUGCACCAGACAGGUCUGAUGCUGCCUUAGAGGUUACCAUUGAAAAAACUAUAAGUUUUGUUAGUUUUUAGUCUAUCAAAACUCACCAGACACAUAUCUGGUGGGGCACCGGACACACACGUCAGCUAGUUAUUGGAAUGUCGUGUCCAGUGUGUCAUCCGGCGCAGCACUGGACUCGUUAAGUGCCCUCAAUCUGACUUUGUCUCCUUUUGUAACCUCUUUGCAAGUCUUAUCCAGUGGGGAAUCUGGUGUGCCAUUGGAUACUUCCAGUUCCCAUCGUUUCCGAAAGUCUAUUUCCAGCCUCUCUACAAGUCGUAUCUGGUGUGCUCUCUGGUGCACCAUCAAUAUAUGUCAGGUGUUCUUUGGCCUAUCUUAAGUUGUUUCUUCGAGUUUUUUUGCUUGGACUUGUCUUGGACUUUUGUAUGGCCUUGAUAGAUAUUCAGCUAUUUAAUUGUAUGUACGUUACUACAGUUUCUAUAUGUCAUAUAAGUAGACCUUGCUUAAACAAAUCAACAUAUGCACCACCAGUCGGUGUGCCUUCGACGCCUCAUGCGGAUCUAGACGUGUGGUGGCGCGCUCCUAGAGCUUGAUCGGGUGGAUCUAGCUGUGCCUCGUGGUGCACCUAGGAUUUUUCUCUAGAGAUGUUGAGCGACGUGUGACGAGGAGAGAGACGGAGACAACGAGUGACAAAGUAUGUGGUGUGGGGUGAGACAAGAUAAAGUUUUUUUCUCCCGCUUUUUUCAUGGUCGUGAGAUCAGGGAUGGUGAUGUAAAAGGUGUUGAACAUUGAAAUACCAAAUGAACCAUGCCUGAUAGGUCAAUCCAAGGGAUAAGCCAUUUGAUAGUGUCGCAGCCUGAUCCGAGAACCUUGUCGUGUCUAGACUUUAUUGGGCCGUAGUGACGAUCCGGUCCGACGUGAUUAUAUUUUUUAUUCUUAAAUUAUUAAUAUAUAUAUAUAUAUACUAGGUGAGUGCCCGUGCGUUGCAACGGGAACGUAUAAUACCACAACAAAUUAUGUACAAAUAUGUGUUGUAUUGUUAUUUUAAUCAAAGUAUUUCACCAGCACAUUGCAACCAUUAGUUCUAUAUAUGAUAGUAGAGUGUCGUGCAUCGCGAUAGAAUAUAAAUCAUUCAAUGAAAUAUUAGUUCACAACGAUUACUGAAGUUUAUUUUAUUGUUUGAUAUUGACUAUUUUAUGUAUUUCAACAGAUUCUUUAUCUUUUACUUACUUGCCAGUGGCCCAUGUUAUAUGAGGUUAGCAACAUUUUGACCCUCAUCCACAGACAACACUGAAGUUCUGAAUUGAAGCAAUAAUCUUAGACUUGUCAAACUUGCAUUUACCAUCACUCCCAGUGUAACGAUAAUCCUUCUCUCUUUCAAGGCCACCAGCCUUGGAGAUGACUGAAGGACGCGUCAUCUGCACACCAUUGCAUCCCGAAUCACAUAAAUCAGGUUCCGAUGAGUCACACUGCAACAUUUGCAACAAGAUUGGGGGAUAGUGAGUUUGGAUUAAUGUGAGGUAAACCAGGUACCAUUAUCUUCAAGCCAGCAACUAUGCAAAUUCUACUGCCCAAAACAUACAAAUAUAUGAUUGACAUCUCAAGGCUUUAGCUUCAUGCAUGUUCAUUACUCAAUAAUAAAGCACUGCAAAAUCACUUUGUCACAUUCAAGAAAAAUUAGCAAAAGCAUCAUCCAAAAUUAAAACAUUACAUCAUUGGAUCAGAUAUUGGUUAACUGACAUGUACAGUGAAAUUGCUUCUUGCCCAUGAUUCAGGAACUUUAGAUUCAAAAUAGCCAAAUAAUGAUCCAGAAGAUAUCAAAAAAAGCUCGUAAAUCUCUACUACUAAUAAUAACAAAAGUCACCUAUUGAGGCUGAACCAUGGAUGGCUAUUACAAUAGUAAGUGAACUCAUUGCGAUCUCCUGUUCAUAGGUAGGCCUAUGUAUACUUAACUGAUGACCCAAGACCAAACCAAAAUAAUCAAGAUUGAAACCGAAAUAUCCAAAACCAAAAAAUAGCCAUUAGUUCAGGAACUUAACUGAUGACCCAAGACCAAACCAAAAUAAAUAUAAAUGGAACUAAAACAACUCGGGUUUGUAGGGAGAAGAUCAGUACCUUGUGAUCCUUAGGCUUAGUGAAGAACUGCACAGUUGGUUUUGACCCAAGGGUCAGCAAGACACCAGAAACAAAGAGAAUCUGACAACAUGACAAGCAACAGUGCUUAUCAGUAAACAGGAGGCUAGAUUGAAGUCAGAAUCAGCCACCUCAUAUGCUCCUAAAAUGGCACCCUGCCACCAAAGCAGGUUGAAGAAAAACCACAGUACAGGGAUUUCUAGUAUUUCUCGAGUAUUGGUGUCAACACUAUGAUCUGUAACAUGGAAAAAUUAAUCACACUGACAUGACAUACAGUUCAUAUAUCUCAUUCUAAAAAAAGUUUGAGAAGCUAGCACCUUAUUUAUGUUGAUUUGUUGGUCUGCCUCAAUGCCUCAUGUUGGUCAGCCCCCAUAGUUAUAUUUUGGCCAGAGACCAUCAAUUCAGUUAGAACAAAGAUCAAGGAUGAACCAUGUUUCAGUAUGUAUGUUGAUAUAUAAAUAAAUUCUAGGGUGAAAACGAACGGAUAUAGAUGGAUAAUAUGUCAUCAUGUAUCCUACCCUAAUGUAUUUCAAUCGGAUUCGGGAUCGAAUACAACUGUGUGUAAAUAAAUAAUAAUAAGUUCAAUAGUUAAAAUGAACUAACCUGAUGCCCCUCUAUCACAUGACUCAAGGAACUACUUGAGAAGUUCUUGAUAAAACUCAGAAUCAUCAAUAAGUUCAGGAUCACCUUCCAUAAUGUGCCCCUGAGUUAUAGCAAAGGCGAUGAAAUAAGCCCAGGUAGUGUAGUCCGCAUUAUAUCUUCUAUUUGUACAAAUAGUAGCAUUCUGAUAGCAAUGUUAGUGUGACAGAUAAAUAACCAAGGUUAUGAUAGAAAAGGGGAAAUCAUCUCAGGGGAAGAAAUGAGCUUCAAUUAACUACAGGCCGUUACACUUCAGUAGACUGAAGGAGACCAAAUAAGGUUUGUAAUAUUUUUAAGGGAAAAUGUAGUAAAUGCUCGAACCUCCACAGCUGUUCCAGGUUCUCCCACGUCCUGAAAUAUGAAUAGGCAUUAGGUUAUGACCCAGUAUAACAUGAAGAACUCAAAAGGAAUAAAUUCUAAAGGUGAACUCCACCUCAUGGGGAUUGACCAAAACAACAAAAGUAACUCUGAAUCAAUGGGGACUAUAGAAGAUGGAUAGAGUAAAAUAUUCUGGAAGGACAAAAAAUUUGCUGGCUGUCUACAGAUUGUAAUCCAUACUCUAUACAUUUAAUCAAUGUCUUUUUUAGAACAAAAAUAUAUCCAGUAAAUGUGCACCAAAAUAACAUCAUGUUGUUCUAUUUUGUGAACAAGCAGAUAUCGCAUUAGCUUCAAUUGUUAACUGUUACUGAAAUAAAUCAUCAGAUGAAAGGUCAGCAGCUAGAAUGAAUAUUUACUGAAAUAAAUAGACAGCAGGUAUCUCAUUAGCUUCAAUCGUUAGAAUUCUAAUUUGAUAACCCAGAUAACAAUACAUACCAAAGAGCUUCCAGACAAUUCCUUUUUCAGUUGUGAAAGAUCAUCAUCAACAGAUGAAGUCUCAAGCAGUGCAAACUGUUCACCAAUAAAUAGAGACAGUCAUGUGAUAUUAGCACAAGGCAAGUAUUUAUAUUGGUUUGUAAAUGUUUAUUUUUACCUUUCCUUCUAAUAAAUCAUCAGUUGCUAACUGGUCGAGUGCCUCUGCUUGGGAUUCCAUCGCCAUAACUAAGCAUUAAAUGUGUAAUUAUUGCAUUAUUUGUUUGAAAACAACAUUCUAACAUUCUACCAUGGAAUAAAGCAUGUUGCUGACAAACACAUGAAGCAAGCAAAGAUACAGUAAGACACCAUUCCUGGCUAAAAGAAGACAUAUGGUAUGUGCAAGUCACAGCAGAUACAUUGCCGUUAAAAUGAAGUUUUUGAGUAUGUUGUUAUGCUUUGCCAAGAUCAUACUCAACUAACUCAAAUGCAUAGCGAGAGAUCCAAUAGAUGACUUGAGGAUGUAGUUAUGCCUUGUCAAGAUCAUACUUAUAACAACAAUAGGGCAUAGUGAAAUAUCCCACGAUCAAGCAAUAUCAUGAUACUAAAAUAGAAAAUCAUGUUCUAAAGGCUUGGACAAAAGGCCAAAAAAAUGACAGACCCAGUGUUGGCGGCUCCCACAUGAGUAGGGUCUGGGGAAGAAAAAUCGAGGCAAGCCUUACCCCUGCAUUUUUGCAGGGAGGCAGCGUCAAACCAGGACCUUUGGCUCAGUGAAAAGACUUCUCACCACUGCGCUGGGCUUAUCAUUCAAGAGUCCAAAAGAAGAACAUUUGUAGAAUUACACAUCUAUGCAAGGAGCCAUCUUAGUGCAUCUUGGUAAUGUAGAGUUUCAAGCUAUGUUUGACAUCAAGUAUUAGAGCAUCUCUUCCCUAAACCAAAACCAAUGGCAGAAGACCAGACAUGCAAAAAAGUAAUAUCAUCAUAUAUAUAAAACUGAUCUAAUAAAGAACGGUACCAAUGAGCGAGAGAUAUUUACCGAUCUGUCAGGUAAGAUGAGCGGCAAUUCAAUCAUUCAUAUCAGAAUCGUCCCAUCCCCAUCCCAACCGUGCUUUGUUAUUUUCCUAAUUUUUGUGCCAGGCUUGUUCAGAUCCAGGAACCUGCGUCAACAAAAAAAUUGUGGGAUUUAACUUGCUCCGCAAAUAUAAACGAAGGGAGACACUUCACUCACAAGUACCACUAAUAAGAAUUGAGAGUUCAUGAGACUAAUAAAAGGAGACAAAAUGUCAACUACACAUUCAUGCUAUUUAAUUGCUGAACGAAAUAUUGAUCCAUACUUGGAAAGUGCAAGGUUGUACCUCAUUGGUGUAGAUCAAGUGUCCUCAAACAUUUGCUAGCCUUGAAGCCAUUCAUGUUUGGUACUAUGUUUUAUCUACAUAAAACAUAGCCACCUUUUAUUAGUCUCACAAGUACCAUAAGAUUGGCUAAAGGCUUCAUUGUAUAAUCAAGACAGAAAGUGUAUAUCCACCUAAUGUCUACAAACUAUAAAGAAGAAACUGUUUUGGAUGCAUUUUUUAGAACAACAACACGUCAUUGUGAGGUUAGGGUCGUCUUGGUCGUAGUGGCUAAGAUGUCCCAUAAAAGACAUUAGAUAUGUAAGCAAUGUAUCUGUAAGCAAUGUAUAUCAUUAAAAUUAAAAGGCAUAGUGAAUAUGUACCAAGCGGGCUUAGCUGAGCAGAAGAUAUUGAAGUCUCAUCUGUCUUUUCACAGCAUUUGUUAUGAAACCCUAUACAUUGCAAUCACCUUAAUGAGAUGAUGACAGUAGAAAAUGAGUACAACUUUUUGUCGAAUAUUUCAUCAGUGUCUCUCAUCAUCAGAAAUCAUGACUACACAAGGUGAGCACACCACCAACUCUCAGCCGACCAAACCCAAAGAAGUUGCUCCUAUUUCCAUGUGCGAUGUAGGUAACCGAUGCAAUAUUUGGUGGGAAUAGGAGAAAAUCUAGGUUACCUUGAUGGGGAGAACGGUGCCUCGUUGGAUUGGUCGCCCGCGUGGACCUAGAGGUGGACGUGGGUGGAGAGGAAAUAGGGUGACCGCUUGAGCAUCUCCACGAGCUGCUUCCUAUCGGUGGUGAGGAGCUGCCGGUGGGCGACUCCGUUCCCUGGCACAACGCUCGACGAUGACCUUGUCGUCCUCCCCCAUGUCGGAAAUAGGAUGAAGAGUGGGCGUGGGCGCGCGGAAGAGGAUGAGGAUGGGGAUGGCCACCAAACGCAGAUCUGACCUGACCCAAGUGCGGACGGCGGUGGAGAUCACGGGCGAGGGUGGUGAAGACGCGGCGGCGGAGAUCACGGGCGAGCGUGGGCGGGGGCGCGCGGAUGAGGACGGGCCGCCAAACGCAGAUCUGACCUGAACCAAUUGCGGACGACGGCGAAGACGUGGCGGCAGAGAUCGUGGGAGAGCGUGGGCGAGGGCAGGUGUUUGACGGGGGCGGAGGCGAGGGCACCAUGGCACGGGGGGGCAUCACACCGGGGGAGGGAGAGGGGGCGCGGAGAUGGCGGUGUGGUAGGGGCGUCGGACGGAGGCGGGGCCGCGGGGGUACUUGUCACGGUGGGGGAGGCGGGCGGAGGCCUCGCGAGCGUGGUGGAGAGGGGCGCCUCCACCGUGAGAGCGUGCCGAGACCGGGCGAGCGGGCGGGAUCCAUGCGCGGACACGACGAGAUCCGGGCGAGCGGGCGUGCCGGGAUCCGCGGCACCGCGGCGGAGAUCACGGCGAGGUGGAGCCCAGGCGAAGAGAGAGGCGGUGUGGGGAGGAGGGCCGGGAUCCGCGGCACCUUCCAUCGGCGGCAAGAAGACCUUCCGUCCGUGCGCCACCAACAGAACCGUGCACCACUCAAAUGUGUGGACGCCUACACUCCGCUCUUAAGGAGUAGUAGGGAUAGUAAGCUAAGACAACAAUGGCUGAAAGUUAAAGGAAGCACUGAAAUCACCAAUGCUUCAGCUUAUGGAUUUUCUUGACCUCAUACCGUGUGUGGACCAAAAUAUAGAUAAACAGAACUUAAGUACUUAACUAUGCAACAUCACACAAUAAAGAGCUGAAUGCAACCAACAAAGGAAGCAUUUUAAAUAGUAACCUAUGAAUCAUCCAUGUUCUUAUUGAAUGAACUGAAUUUCAUGGCAUCAUUGGAGUGCAUGGAUGCCUUCUCUCCAAAUAAAAUAGCAACAAGGUUUGGACAAGGUCCUGUUUGGACAGCCCUGCUAAGUACAAUACAUUGAAGACCAAAAACUACACUUCACCAGCUAUGAUAAGCAAAUCAAGUGUAUAUACACGGAUUGGAAACACAGUCUUACCGGUAGGAACUUAUAGCACGCUAUUCAGCUCGCUCCUCUAUAAUAAAAAUAUAGCACAUAAAUAUUUUUUCAUGACUAACAAUAUUAUAUAAAUAUAUUCUACAUAAAACUGUAUUAGCUUAAUUGAUCUAUAUCUAAAUUACAAUUAUUAGAAUGGAAUCCAAUUCCAAGCAUCCAAACCGAGCGUUAGGGUAUUGUAAGCAGGAAAUCAAUGAAACGAAUAAUAUUUAAAACUUGGUCAGCACUUAGAAGUUAAGAAUGACAUAACAUAAUUAUCCUGUUUUAGCAAACAUACUCUGAACCAAAUACUCUUAAUAUUUAUACAAAUGGAGUGACUUGUCCUGGAUAUGAGUGGAUGGUGCUUGUACAUUAUACUUCAUGUAAAGAUUGCUCAAGUGGGAAUCAAGGCAUGUCACCUAAUGUGGAAUUACUGGCCAUCUGAUGUGCUUAAAAUUUAUUUGAUGAAGUACUGUAGGGUAUAACACAAUGUGAUGGACCUGGCUAUCACCAGUGGUCUGUUUAGAUAAGGACCUCGUAUUAGUACCCUAGGUUACUAUGUGAUAUGAUUGUUUUUCUUGGGAUUAAUUUAGAGCCUAAAGUUUGGAAUGCGGUAUCCUCUAAUCAAUGAAUAGGCAUUUGUGGCCAGCUCACAUAUUUGCAGGGUUACCUUCGAAGCUCGCAGUUCAUUCGCGGCCGUUCGGAGAGAAUCAUCUGACAGAAUCAAUCUUGACAAAGCACCAGUGCUUAGGCUGCAUUAUGGUCAUAGUUCACCGAGAUAAUUAUGAGGUGGCUUGAAUGUAAAACUAUAGCAAAUAUACAUGAUGUCAUCUAGCAUCUGUGCGCAGCAGUGGAAUAUAGAUGUAACGUGUUACCCUAAAAUCUUUGCUGCAUCUGAUACAGAACCUUCAACAGCAAACAACAGGUCUAAUAAUGCUUGCAUUUCCUGCCCAGUGGAAAACGAAGUACAAAGGGAGGUGUUUAAAUAUGCAAAUCGCAAGGACCAAUGACAGCAAAACACAUGCAUAAUGCAUUAGCCAUUGAAUUAUAACAACAGGAACAUACUGGAGAAAAUUUUGAGUUAUUUGGACCGAUUUGGGGGCCAACAUCUUUUCCUCUAACGCUGUACUUCAGGGGUAAUAUCUGAAGAAGCUCAACAGGUGGAGUGUAGUCUUCCAGGUUUAUCGGCCUCCUAACUGAAGCACUGCGCCAUUAAUGAUCAUGGAAAUUAAAUCCAUCAGGCAGCAUAAGAACUUAGGGGAUGUUUGGUUUCUAAGGACUAAUUUUUAGUCCCUCCCAUAUUUGGCAAUUUAGGGAUUAAAUAGAAUAAAAUGGAGGAACUAAAAAUUAGUCCCUAGAAACCAAACAUCGCGGUUAAAUUGGAGGCAUAUGAGCUCUUAUGAAGCUGCACUAUGAUUUGUAUGUGACUCAUGGUCACUUAGGGGGUGCUUGUUUGGGAUUAUAAUCUGCCCAGAUUAACUAACAGUUCAAAAAAACAGUUCAAAGUUUGUUGGAUUAUAUAAUCUGGGCAGAUUAUAAUCCCAAACAAGCACCCCUUAAGAUGUUUCUUAAAUUAGUUGAACAGACCUAUAGUUCCUUUUCUGAAACAACACAUAACUUGGAGAACAUUAGAUUCUUUUACCUUUAAGAGCAAUCAGGGUUCGAAGCCGAGAUAAAGCAGACGCUCGGUUCUUAUGUUGUGACCGAUCCUCCACAACUUGUGUGGAAUUUUACGGGAAAAAAGAUUAAGCAUUCAGUUUGUGUGAAGUUCAACUGAUUCGUGAUUGCAUAUCCAACCUUCUCCUCAUUCAAAUUCUAGGAACAGAUAAAUCAUUGUACGAAGCGAUCGAGGUAAUUGAGAAUUUAAGCUAAUUCAGCAAGGCUACCGACCUGGGCGAUGAUGCCGGUGGGAAGGUGUUUCAGCCGGACGGCGGACUCGCGCUUGUUGCGGUGCUGGCCGCCGGGGCCAGACGCCUUGAACGUGCCCAUAUCGCACUGCUCCAUGAGCUCCUCGUCGCUCAUCCCCAAGUUGCCUUAGUUGCAAAAACAGUUGGCAAACAUACUAUUACAUAAGCAUUCCAAAAGAAUCAUAGACCAUGUAAGAUAAGCCAUCACUGCUGAGCCAUCCACACGUGAAGGAAUGGAUUGGACGAGCGCACUCCUUUCCCCCCUCUUUUUAUGGUAUUCUAUUUUCUAUUCACCCUCUGCUACCUGAUGGUUCUUAUGUCAAAAAUUACAGAUCAUAAAAAAAGAAAGCAUAAAUAUUGCAAAAAUGAAAGUAACAUAUGAUAGCCUAAUAACAGUAAUAACAUAUACUGCAUAUAUUUCACUCUAGCCUAGGAGUCAAUGUUAUCUAAUUACACUUGCAAAAGAGGGAGCAUAUGCUAUACACAAAAGAGCAAAUGAUAAAUUGAUAUUUGUUUGGAUGUAUCAAGGUUUUAUGUUCCUAUUCUAAUAUAUAAAAACUUGCAUCCCCUAAUUGCAGACCAGUUGGCACUUUAGGGGAGACCUCCCUGGAGCAGAGAUAUGUCAAAUGAAGUAUAUUGUAGCUACCUGUUAGUACCUUAGGGAGACAUUCCUGGAGUCGAAUCUCCGAUUUGUCCGGCCAGCAUGAGGGACUACAGCCCCAUUAUAAGGCGGCUGCAUGUUAGAGAUCAUAAAUUUUGUGCUGAGGAAGUUUGACCUGGAAAUGACGACAAAUAUCUCGAUUAGGCGACAUAAUCAGACAAACCAGGCAAAAACAAGACAGUCAACCCAUUCACUUGCCUUUCAAUUCUAUUACCUCAGCUUUCCAAUAUAUGUUGUCAGCAUCAUAUAUGUUGUCAGCAUCCAUCGAGAUAAUAUACUCGUGCAGCUUGUUUUGCGGUUCCUUCUAGCUGAUAAGAGGAACUCGCCACUCUCCGUAAGUACAGCUGACCCAGAGGGGUAAAAAAGGAGUGACCAAUUGCAUUCCAAAUAGAAAGAAUGUUGGGCAGAAAUGAUGGGAAGACACAGGCAGAACAGAGACCAGAAUGUCUACUUGACACUAAUAGAUAUUUGCCAAAAUCAUCCUACGAAUUCACCAACAGUAAAGGAUCUAUUCAUACAAGCAAAAUAAAGGCACAACAUACCAGUGGUCAGGCACAAGUAGAGAUGAUAUGUGGUCUUCGAUUUAUCUCGCUUUAUGAAACAUUGAAUCUCGCUUUAUCUCGUAUCCCUGGCGCCGGAGCUCGGCGAAGAGCUCGAGCGCGCGCUCGUACUGGCCCGCGCGGGAGAGCGCGUGUAGCACGGUGUUGUAGGCGCGGACGUCCCGGCGGGAGCGGCGUUUCGUCGAUCCACCCCACCACCCCACCACCGCCCGCCAGAUCUGCGACGUCGCCUUCUCCCGCCGCUGCUGCGCCGCCGCCGCCGCGAUCGGCGAGUACACCUCUGCCGCCGCCAUAGACGACAGAGACGAGCUGUCGCGCCACGUGGAGCUUCUGGUCCGGGAGGCUGGAGACCGGGAGGACGGAGGGAAGUCGAGGACAGAGGGAUGGCGAGGCCGGAGGCAACCGGAGGAGGAGGUGGUGCCAUGGUGGUCGGUCUCCACGCCCGCGCCCGUGUGCGUGGUGGGGAGCGGAGAGAGGAGCAGUUGCGAUCGAUGGAUGGAGGAGGCUUGAAGCGGAGGCGACGAGAUGGAUGGUGAUGAUUUGACGCAUAUAGAUGGACAGUGUAGAUUGGCUGAAGGCAGAACCAGGGGGAGGCAGCCUACCCCUUACAGCCUUAAUAGGUAGUAUAGAUAUAUAUAUAAUAUUCUUUGUGUUGCACAAAUACACAUGAGCUUCACCGGAAAAGACGAGCGUUUUGUUCUCUAUUUGAAUGGUCAGGGUUUGAACCCACCUCAUCGCCCUCUAUUUUUUUUUUUGUUUAUUUUCCUAAUUUAGGGAGGAGGAGGUCUACAGUAACUUAAUUCAAAUACCUAUUCUUUUAUUCUUCUAUUUUUUGAUCCAAAGAAUAAUAAAAUCAACAUAAGUUCCUAACUAAAAAUGUGAUUUCUAAAAAUUUUAUUGCAAUUCUUCGAAUUCUCGAACAAACCCUAUCCAAUAGAAUAUAAUAUAAAAAAUUUAAAAUUCGUAAAUUAAGUAAUAAAAUAUAGAAAAAUAAUUCAAAAAUACAAUCCUUAUCUACCUUUUCUUUCUGUAGAUGAAGGAGGCCUACAGCGCACGCGGGCGCCUGCAGCCUUGUAUGCAGGCAUGCGUGUGUGCAUGUAAGAUUUGGAUGCGUACACAUGGGUGAAGAGGACGAUGCACGAGGAAACUAUUUUAUAUCAGUAAAGAUAAUGCUUUGAUCUCGUCUUGGGCAGGACUUAGCAAAAAAGAACUGCAGGAUCUUCUUCAGAAGGGAGCGAGACUUCUGGUGGGGGCUACAAGUUCUGGAGGACUGACGCGCUUUAUGUAUGCUUCGUUUCAGAAUGCUGGCGGUUGUGAAGCGUCUGUUUUUAUCUAAAUACAGUCUUUAUAUAUCUUUUGUGGUCAUCGAAUCUUGUUGCAUGUCGCUUUCUUGUUCUACCUGUCAUGGACCAUAUAUCCUGUGGAAAACUAUCUCUUGCCCCAUCCUAUCAUUUUGCACGGUUUGGUCAUGUAAUCUGAAUCAGAUUCUCUGAUCAGACUAGGUGAUGUUACUAUUUGUCGUAUGUGCAUCAGAAAAACUUUUGUAUUUCUGUUAUGAUAUAAUAGAAACGGGGUAAUCCUCUUGUCAAAAAAAAUAUCAGUAAAGAUAAGUCCUUUAAAGUUAUUUUAUUUAUAAGUCCUUUUCUUGAUGUAUUGAUCUUUUAAAUUCCUUCAUAUAUUUUGUCUAAGUCUAUGUUAUGUCCUUUGAACUCUGUAAAUAAUCAUUUAAAGAAGUUGUUAGUCUAAAUAGAUAUCCUGAUCAUCAAACAUCAAAAUCAAUAUUAAAAUAGUCUGGGAUCCAUUUCCCUUACAAUCUAUUCUUUUUUGGCGAUUAAUAAUAACACAACCAAAGCAAGCAAGAAAUAAUAUAAACUUGUAAACUACUUGCUAGGAUGCAUGCACAUAUAUAAGAUUUAGAAGAUACUUGUCAGUACCCUAGAACAGGGGUACCCGUUACUACAGUAUGAAGGCGCGGCGUCCAUGCGGAUAUCUUUAGUCGCGUGGCGAACAACACCUGACCCCACCACGUGGACGGCUCCAGAGCCGCCACGUGGCCAGGAAAGACAAUAUACUCCAUGGUGUCAACAGUAGGUCCGGACCCCACGGGAAUGUGCCGGACCCUUGGAUACACGGCCCGAACCUCCGGGCAGGGUCCAGGACCUCCGCGAGUACAGUCUGGACCCCCGAGACGGGUCCCGGACCUCCCUGUGUGGGACCCAGGUCACUCACAACAAGGUCCCGGGAUUCUAGGAGGAGUACCCAGACCUUAAUCAAGGCCAGGCAGGGGGUCCGGAGCCGACACAUGUCUGAACCAUAUUGCAUACGCCUCUGCUCCCCGCUCAGGCGGAGACCCGAUGCUGCCACGUGGCCAGCUGCCUGUGACGUAAGCCAACGGGCGGAGCCGGACGUAAAGCCUCUGGGCCGCGCGCAUUUAUUGCGGGUGAGGCGCGCCGCCUGUCAAACUGGCAGGUGAUGUGCCGCCUCAGUAUUAAAUGCGUCCUGUCUACUCCACUGACAAGCGAUGUGUCGCCUCAGCAUUUAAUGUGCCCUGUCACUCUGCUGGCAGACGGCGACCAAACCAUCCCGCAGGCGGCGUGCCUGUCCAUUCCCGUGGCAGGCGGCACGUCCAUACUGUCGCAUGUGCCACGCUCAUCAUCACUCGUACGUUGUCAGGGAAGCUUCCGCUGGACGCCAAUGCUACGCGGACCGCGGAUAUCAGGGCGCAAGAAGAUGGCACUAGCGACCAGGAUCAGCUACUCCAAGUAUUACAUCUGUUAUGUCUCUAGGCCCGCAUGUCGGGGCUCAGCACCCUUGUACGUGCCCCCCCUUCGAGCUAUAAAAGGGGAGGCACUCAGCGUUACAAGAGGACUCAAGCUCACUCAGACACACUUAGACCCAGCUCAGGCUCACAAGUUCAUACAAGCUCCCAAGCUCAAUACAUCACACAGUGGAGUAGGGUAUUACGCUCCGGCGGCCUGAACCACUUUAAAUCCUUGUGUGUUCUUGUGUUCUUCCCGUUUCAACCUAACAGGCAAAACGCUUAGGUCUCUCCUCAUCUAAGGAUUUAGGGCGGGUGCAUUCCGCCACCCGGCCGGAGAUUUCCUCUCCGACAAUACUAAAGGUAAGCUUGUACAAAACUUAAACCUUUAAAAGAUUUUUUUCAAGAUUUUUUCCCCGUUUUCCUUUAAAACUUGUUGUUUUAGGCUUUUUAAAAUUCCCCCCCUUUUUCCUUAAAAGAUACUGAUUUUAAGGCAUGUGAAAAUUCUGCCCAUGAAAGAUUUUUCUCAAAACUUUAUCCAUGCUUCUUUUGGCCUUCUAAAAAUUUCUUACCCCUUACUCUUGAAAGAGGAUUGUUUUGCAAAGAAAAAUUAAAAGAGUGAUUGACGGUCAUUGUUGCUUUAGCAUGUGAACUAUCUCCUUUGAAAUCAAACACCAAAAAGAAAGAUAUCUAGUGGCCCUUAGAAAUUCUCUGUUAAAGCUAGUUUGGAAACCUCAUUUUUUCAAGUGUUUUUCAUGUUCUCAAGUGAAAUUAGUUUAUUUUAUCUUGAGAAAAUAGGAAUUCCUUGAAAAUUGUAAUUCCUAAACUAGCACUUAGGUAAGAUUUAGGAUAUUUAUGUAAAUAUAAAUCGGAGAACAAGUCUGAUACCAAUCAUUUCACAGUGGAAGCGUGUUUUUUUCUCCGAGGAUUCUAUUUUCCGAGACUACUAUACAUAUGAUAAACUUAAAAACAAUAUUAGUCUCAAAAGACACCAGAUUAUAGAGUAAUCUCUCCCUAAAAUUAUGCAAAAUAUAUGCAUUUAGACUUUUGAGGUCAAGGGAACAGGUUAUCUAAAUCUAAAUUUGAACAUUAGCACACAUAUAUAAUAAUAUGAUCAAUUAAAAGUACUAUUUGAAAGUUCAUGAUCAACGACGUAUAUGAUCUCCAACUUUUUAUUCCGCGUAGCUGUUCAUAUCGGAUCCAUUUUCAUCCAUGCAUUUGUUGUGUUCUUUAACAAUUGCAACGAACAGUCACAUAUCAGAGACGAGAUUAUGUAUAUCAGUAUAUUACAAAUCAUACCAACUGACCCACUAAAAGAAGCAUCAACGUAUCCUUCAAGUGAAACAGAAGGCAAGUACAACCUGAUCACAAUUUGCAAUGCCAGGUGCGCCUGUCUUGGUUUAACGUUUAAAAAUACAUGAAUCACUAUGGGUAUCCCCAGAUAUGCUCUCUGCUUGAUCACAUCUCCAGGUGAGUGCAGUAAGAAUUUGAUCAGAAACAGUAGUGCUGAAAUUGCUACGCUAAGUAGACAGUGCGUCGUGAAUUAACUUGUUUGCAACCUCCUUUGACAGCCCCAUGACACUGUCACUAGAACCAACCUGCACAAGUCAAUGAGGUAGUAAACAUUUGUAUUAAUGGAAACAAAAACCCUGUAAGACAACCAAGAUAAGGUGCAUGAGACACUGACCACUGCUUCGACAAACGGCAGCGUCAAUGGAUGUUCAAGCAGCAAACCACCUGCGACCCUAAAUACUACUCCCUCAUCGAUCUAACAAAGAGUGCAGAGAAAAACUCAGUGACAUAACAACAUGGCAAAUAUGAAAAUAUUGAAGCUCGUGAUGCUAAUCCUGCAAUUUUUUUGAUUGCAGCUAUUUAUAGAAGGCGUGCAAGUAGAAUAAAAUGAGAACAUACCAAGCUCUUGAUGACCUCAUCUGGUAUAUCGUGGAAAUAAACCUGCACAGUGUAGAAUGAUAAUGCAAAACUUCCUUGGUCAAUUAUCAUCCAUAAAUAUCACAUUCAAGACAAAAACUUCCUUUUCACACAAUAAAUUUGAAGAACCUCAUCUACCAAUAUUCAUCACCCUACAUUGGUGAAUUCAUUUCUAUUAAAUAAGUAUUACCGAUAUUAGAGAUUACGCAUCUAAAUUGGACCAUAUAUCCUUCUGCACUAAUAAAUCUGAUUUGAAUGGCAAUAUAACAAAAGUAGCCUUGAUGAAAGAGUCUUUUGGCUAAAAAGUGAAAAUUGCCUCAGCUUUGUCCAAACUUCCAAGUCUCUUCCCAGUUGUAAGAUUAGUUACAACAACAGACCCAACAGUUGACACGUGACCUCCGGAAUAGCCUUGAGAAGAUAAUGAUUCAAUUAAUUAAAAACGCAUUAAAACAUUGUGAAUUGGAUGUUUUGUUGACAACAAACCUUUCAGGAAUUGCCGUGCUUCUUCCUUGGUGGUUGGUUUUUCUCUAAUAAUCCCUUCAUGGACGACCACCUCAAAGUCAACUACAAUUCAGUAUGCAAUCAUACGAAUGAUAACAUUCUAGCAAAAACAGAUGAGAAGAUACAUUCCACCACAACCAUGGAAUAAUAAUUCCACCCAAAUUAGGAAUGCAGAGGUAAUCGAGACAUACUAUGUCAGAUGUGAUCAGGAGUGUUGGUUGACUGCCUUCUUUCUGAUAAUCAUCAAUGUUCAAUCUGGACAUGAUAGCAUCAGCCUGAAAGAUGCUUAAAGUGGUUAAUUCCAUGCUGGGGGAGAAAAAAACAAUUGAUGAUAGAAAAAACAGCCAUGGCCCAAUUUGGUUGGACAUUUCUUCCACCACCUUGUUCUCCGACAGAAAGAAGUAUUAGUUUUCAUGUAGCUUUAAAAACAAGUAUGUGUGCAAAAUUUGUUUGUCUAACACUAACAAAACUGAAACCCAUGUUGAAGUUGAUCCUAAUUCAGGCAGACUGAUGUAGUCAACUAAAUGGGCCAAGGAACAAGAAAAAAAUGUGAAUGCCAUCAAUUGCAACACAUUGCUGGACCAUUUUGCGAAUUUAAUUUGUUGUGUAAUAUCGUAUUCACCUAGAAAAUUUACAUGCACUUUAAGGAACUUCCUAAUUUAUGCUUCAGAUGGCCACCUAAAGCAGUUGCAAACUUGGCCAACUUAAGCCCUGUUUGUUUCGUACUUCAUUUUCAGAAUUUCAUUCUAGAAUCCCAUUAUGAACCAAACACCUCUUAAAUUCUGCAUUGGAUUGUGUGCCAGAAUCUCAGAAUCUAUCCAUAACCUGAUAAUGGAUUUUGCAUUGGGUUUUGUACAGUAUCCAAUACUCAAAAUCUGCUAGGAACCAAACGCCGCCUUAAUAGCUAUCAACUGACCCAUUACAACAUAGUUAGAAGAUCAACAUAAAUCAGACCCCAAGUGAACUUUAGUCAUAAAUUUGCACCAAAAUUUCACAGAAGCUACAAAAAUCCUAAAAUUAUAAACAUUUUUUAAUGAUGUUUAGGAUCACUCAAUCGCUCAACAACUAAUUUAUAUCAUGUAACGGAUGAACACCUCAUCUUUUCAACUAAGUAUCUCCACGGUGCACUGCGCAUAUUGAGAUGGCAAACAGGCCUCAUGCCCUCAUUGCAUAGUUAUGCACUGAAACAAUACUUACUGAGUGAAAAAAAUAUAUAUACAUGCAUAAAAAGAAUAUGAAUGGUAGGUUGAGAAACCAAAUUGCAUCCUAGAAACUCCUAGAAAUUUUAUAAAACAAUUUAACUUUAUUUAAAAGUAAUAAUGGUGGUAUGGUAAAAACUAAUGGUUUCGUUAGAAAUCAGCACAUAAAAUAAGUCUUUCAAUUCUUGUUUUACAUUCUUUUAGAGAUCUGAUGCUCCUGGAUUAGUCAUGCAACUUGAGAAUUUCAGGAGGCAGCUGAAGCAGUUAGUAACAAAAUACAAAACCAAAAAAAAAUCCAGAACAUGAUGAUUCAUCCAAGACAUCAUAAUCAUCGUGUGAAACUUUUCACACACACAAGUAUAAUUAUAUGAUCAAUGCCUUCAGCAGUCUUGACUCUUGAGGAGAGGAUCACUUUCUUUGUUGCUGGAUGGCUAGGUUCAGCACAUGACCAUGUAUAUUGAUUAUUGAAUGACACUUUGGUCCAGCAUUCAAAUAAAAAGUUUCCACUACCCCUGAACCUGAAGUAUACUUUAUUUGUUCCCAGCUCAAUUCAUGCACAAAAUUCCUGCAUUCACUGUUGAACAUUGUUUCUAUGUAUUCAGGUUUUUUUGCGAACUACUCAGAGAAAUAUUAUCUUGUUGAUGAGGGGAAUUCCAAUAGAAAGACCUUUUACAGGUCCUUGCAAACAACAAAAGUACCAUCUAUGAACUCUUAUGUUCCUUCUAGUGCAGAUUGAGGAAAAUGUAGUAUACCACAUAGUAUCAUAUAACACAAGAUGAGGAACAAUAUUAGGACCGUCUUACUGCAAGAAGAACAUUAUAGCAAAAAGUUGCAGCGCCCAGCAACGCAUUUGCAAUUGAACCAUACAAAUCUUCACAAUGGCAACUGGAUGUAAUUAAUUCCCGAGUUUGUAACACUGAAGGUCAGAAGCUACAAUAUAGCACAACGCAGCAUCGCCAAAGGGGGUUGGGGAGAGAAUCUUGUGCCUACCUUGGCCUCCGCGAGGACCAUUACCAGGUCAUCGGGAUUCUCCCUCCUGAUGCUCUUCUCGUCGAUGUCAGCAGUCUGAACCCACAGAAAGGCAAACAUAUCCCAUAAAUAUUCCAUUUCGCCGUCAGAAUCAGAGCGGUCAGCGGUGGGAGCACGCGAAGGAGCAGCACGACCCACCAUGACUUGGAACUCCAGCCCCAUCUCCUCGAGGAUGUGCUUCCGCGCCACCGAAGACGACCCUAGGAUCAGCUGCGACGGCCGGCAGGACGAAUACACAGACGACCGAAGGUCAGGACAAGUGGAGGAAUAGGAGCGGGUUGUUGCCGGAUUGAAAUUAAUGAGGGCGAACCUUGAAGGGCUGCUGGCUGGCAGGGGGGGACGAACCCGCCGUGGCCAUGGGACUCUUGCGCGCGGUGACGCGAGGAGGGUCGCGUCGGCUUCGGUCGUCGGCUCGGUGGGGUUCCGGGAAGACGGUGGCAGGCUGGCAGCGCUGCUGGGAACAGAGAGUGGCAGCCGCAAAACCUGUGGAAGAGGAUAUGGCCCCGGGACUGCUGGGCUGGGCCCCGAGGAACAGAGUGCUGGGCAUGAGAAAAUUGCAAUUACGCCCACGGACGUUCAACCACGGACAAGGCAUGUUUGUGUGGAGAUGGCAACAACUCGGGAUCCGUCCGCAAGUAUAUUCAUGAUUGCAAUCAAUAUUCGUUUGUAACCAUACUUAUAGGUAAAAAUUUAUAUCCAUGUUUAUAUUUAUCAUAUUUUAGAUGUCCGUUGGAUACGAUAGACACAAUCAUUUUUCAACAAUUCAAUAACAUAAUUAAUUAAAUUUCUUUUUAAUUCAUCAUCAUACAUAAUUUAAAACUUAAUAAAAAAAUUAUUAUGCAUAUGUGGCCUACGAUCAGGGCACUGAACCUUGAAAGGGCUAGCCGCCAGUGUAGCCUAUGGGAUAUGGAAGGGGGGCAAGUACAACACACGAAGCCAGCAAGGCUAGAAUGGGUGACCAAUUGUGAUAAAUUGGGAACGUUGGGUGUGGUUUAUGAAGUUAGGGUUUACUCUUUGUUGUAAAAUAUGGGCUAGGUAAAAAAUAAACUAUGGAUCAAUUUCGGAUAUCCAACGAAUAACCCGCGGGUGAGGUAACAUCCUAAUUCAUGCUCGUCUGACGUUGGGCCAGAUACGGAUCAGACCAACGGGUCGUUGGUCCAAAAAAUAUAUCCAUACCUGACUCAGUUGGGUCGGAUAUCCAACGGAUAUCCGAAUCCACGGGUCAAAUUGUCAUCACUAUUUGUGAGUAAAGCGUUUUUGUUUGUUAGGCAAUAUCAUGGUUUAUAAGAACAUUAGAAUAUUUAUGCCAUGAAGUGUUUGAUUGCAUUACUAUACACUAUGUUUUAAAACCAUAAUAUUUUAGAUACCAUAAUAUGUUAGAUACCAUGAUAUUUUUAGAAUAUUGAAAACUUUAUUUCAAUCUAAAGUUAUCAUGGCAUGGUUUGAUUUUGGCUAGAUACCGUUUUACAAUGUUGUAUCCAAACAAUGUUUCUCGAACCAUGGUAUUUUUAGAGCCGGACAAUACUAUGAAUUGUAAAGUGUGGUUUUGAAAAACAAUGUUACCAAACAGACUUUAAGUAAUUAAGUAUUUAAUCUGAAUUUAGCUAAACGGUUUGUAAGUAUUUUUAAGGUGUUUAAUGUUUGCAUGUAGCCAUGAUCAAUCAGUAUACUAUUGUGUUGCCAUUGCCAACACAGUUCAAAUCUAGUUCGAAUACAGCUAAAAUUAUCUUGCCAAUCAAAUGCACAUCGGCCAUCUCUUCUGUUAAAACUCCAUGGAGUUUACCCGUGCUCUCCAUGCAUCUCAUCAGACACCCCGUCUAUCACUUCAACGUAGAGUGCACAGCGUAUUGUAGACUAGUCCUGGAAAUAUGGGUCGGCCUUUAUAGACCAACACGAACACGGUCUAAAAACAGGAUCCUAAAGUACGGCUCGGCACGAAAUAAUAUGAGUCGGAUUAGCACGACCUGAAGACAGGUCUGAGCCGGGCCUCCAAUUCUGGAUGUCGGGUCCCGGCACGGCCCGCACAGAUAGACUGGACUUGGUAUGGCACAGCCCAUGAAGCCCAUGUUGUUUGUUUUUUAAUUAGUAAGCUACGGACUUUAUAUAAUUGUGAUAUUUAUACUUUGCGUGAUCACAUUAUGCUAGGAUUGUUUAAUAUCUUUAAUAUAGUAAGAGCAUCUCCGAGUCGUAACAAGAAGUCGUGUAUUUGAGUCCUUAAAAUUAAAUUAGGAUGAUUUAAAAUAUUUAGGGCCACAAAAUUGUUUGCAGCUCCAACAGUUGAGCUCUAUACCUUAUUAUUAGGAAAUAAAUUAUGUUAUUUAAGAAAUAAAAUGUCAGAAAUAGUAUACAAAAUGAGUAUACAACUCCGAUAUAUAGAGUACUAUAUUUAGAACCCAAGAGGUCGAGUGCUAUAAUCGUUUGACGAUUUUUUUUUUGUAAAAUAGGACCACUGUUGGAGUAUAUUUUCGGUGCUAGAGUCCUAUAUUUGAAAAUAGAACCCUGAUUAGAGCUUUUGUUGGAGAUGCUCUAAGUUAUAAAUUUUAUGUGGUUGUAAUAUUUUGAUUUUAUGUGAUCAAAUAAAUGGGUCGGUCUUGAGCUAAGACCGAUACCUAUAACGAAGGCACGAUGCGGUUUAGGAUCAGGCUAGACCACUGUUUUUAUAUUUCUAACGGGCACAAUAUGAUCUAAAUUUUUUUAAGCUUUCUUUAUCCGAAACUGUUUAACACGAUACACUCAGUUCGAUCCAGAGCGGUCCAAUUCCCAGCAUAGUGUAGACACGCACCCAGGGGCCAAGGCUGAGUACUAGCACUAACACUCUCGCCCAUGUAGCCACUACGCACGUCCCUAUAUAUGUCUGUUGCCCAUACCUCCUGGCAGGCUACUACGGUACUACCAUCCAGUACCUUCCCUUGUUCUCUCCCCCCCCCCCCCCCCCCCCCCCCCUGCAAGAAACGCCCGGCAAGCUUUCCCCUCCGUCGCAACAAUUCGUUCAUCCAUGACGGAGCUCGUCAACAAGAUAUUGGAUGUGUUCGAGCACGAGGAGACGCUGGACGCCGGAUACAUGUGCUGGCCGAGCUCGUCCACACUCCUCAGCAUCCUCUUCAUCUUCACCCAUCGGCGUCUAUGCUGUCAUAGCCGUCGGUGCAUCCACCAAGCUUCAUCGUCCUUCUUCCUCCCCGGUGUUCCCUCGCCUGCAUGGCUGCAUCCUCCUCCGCUACCUCAGAGUGGCGGCAUUGUACAUCCACUUUCACACGCGCUGCGCUGAUCCAUGGAUCUCAUGUAGCGGUAGUGCAGUACCAUAUGAUCGUGGCUGGUAGCGCUGGAUCUUUUCUUGGCGUCCGUGGCCCGACAGCUCCGCUAGCAGUUAGUACGUGUUCGCACGCAAGCCACCACCACCGGUCAGUCCCGUUUCCUACCUCACCCUCUCCUAGUCUGCUCCUUCGCUACACUCGCCUACACCCUGCGAUGGCUCCUCGCCUUUAAUUUAGACUUUGUUCAGUUAUUCUCAUUAUAUAUGGAUUGGAUAGGUUUAAAAAAAUAGAAGAACUUUAACUUGUUUGAAAUUUAAAAUCAUUUAAUUUCACUUAAUCCACAUGAAUUGAGAGAUAACCGAAUAAGUCCUUAACGACAGAUAGAUCGUUAACUAUAAUUUUCCACACCAUAUGAAAGGAUCUCCUACUACUUAAUUUUUUUUCACAAAUAACGUGGGAAAGUGCCAUCCCGUGAAUAAUCGUGCAAUGCUGAACAAAUUACUAAGUUUCAUAUCGCAGCCAUAUUAUUACUUUCUACAAAUAACGCAAGGCGGUAGGCGGACAUUGCCUAUGCCGGUGUUCAUCUCAAUAACACAGUUUACAACUGUUUCUCCAUUGCUUGUUUGGUUGUUAACCAGGGUUCACCAAACCGGAUUGAGGGUAAAAAAACGACCCACACCGAUAACCGAUUUGAAAUCCGGUAGAAACCGGCCAAAAACACAAUCACCCUAGUUUUCAAUUCUAAACGGUUCGAAAAAAACCGAAUAAUCGGCCGAUCGGUUCCUGGCCUGAUAAACCGGCAACACAGAAGUAGAAACCAAGUCAGUCUAUAUAUAUAUAUAUAUAUAUAUAUAUAUAUAUAUAUAUAUAUAUAUAUAUAUAACGGGAGCCCUGGGCUUCGGAUAUUAAAAGAAGCCUAGGUCGGUUCAGAGGUCUGGUCCGAUGAGACAGACGCGUCUGUGUUUAACGAAGUCCAGACAGGUGGCAUGCAGGACAGACGGCGCUGUUACGCGGUUGUUUUAAUAGCAAGGCGGUAAACAUAUGGUAAAUGCGCGGAAUUAUAGGGAAUAGUUUCCACAUGCAAACGUGCUUACUAUGUUACGUGGGCGCGAAAUUUAUGGAUCUUGCAUGGGGUGUAAUGGCGGCAGGUAAAUAUAACGUAGAAUAAGAUGUUGAAAGAUAUGGCAUAAAACCGAAACGGCACAAAAGUUGCAUAAAUAGUAUAUAUCGUUUGGCGUAAAACGUUAAGUCAUUGUGCGUAAAUAGUGUAUUAUGGAUAUUAGUUUGACAUUGACAUCGCCAUAAUAUCGGGACGGUUUCGGAAAUAAUGGGGAGACCCUGUAAACGUGGAUGCGGUUACUUGUAUAGUAUCCGUGAUUUCCUUUCAUCCAAAAAAACACCACAAAGCCUGCAUAACUAUUUGGAGGUGGAGAUGGCCGGCUCUAGAGAGUCGCCGGCGAUGGUAGGAGAUGGCGUUCGUCUUGAUCCAGAGACAGAGGGAGUAGUUGAUGGUAACUCACUGGUCACACCACCUCCUGCUCUACUGGGUCCUGUGAUCGACGAGAUGAGCAUAGGGGAAGAAGGAGAACAAAGGGUUCGACCUCCUAUGUCCAAUAUUAGCUCCAAGGAGAUGGAUACGCCUCAAAUACUGCAUUCACAUGUAAGUCCAAUUGUUGUAUUUGAUUCUUGACUGAUUAGAUUGUUAUGAACAUAUUCCAUGGUACAAACAACAAUGUCAAUGAAUUUGCAGGAAAAAAACAUUGAUCCAACUAUAGUGCGAACGGUAGGGAUGACUUUCAAGGAUGUUGAUGAUGCAUAUAGAUUCUAUAAAAGGUAUGCAUAUGAAGUUGGAUUUCCACUGAAGAAAUACAGAGAGAAGACAUUCAGUAAGUGGAUAAAUUGUUCACGUGAAGGUAAAAGUGCGCCAAAAUCAAAUGAUACACCUAGGAUGAGGAAUAGGACUUCGGGGCGUACGCAAUGUAAGGCUGGAAUAAAAUAAAAAAUAUAUAUGAUGAUGAAAAAAAUGGUUGUAGCUGCAAAAAUUGAACUGGUAAACUUGGAGCAUAACCAUGAGUUCAUAACUGACGAAGCAGAGAAACAACAUUCGUUGCAACAAAAGUAGGGAUGCUGAGUUCAUAAAUUUUGUUGAUGCAAUGCAUGAUAGCCGAGUGUCGCAGCAUUGCAUAGUUGAUUUUAUAUCAGAAAUGCAUGAUGGGCUGGAGAACGUACCGGUAACUGCUCAAGAUCUGAAAAACAUGUAAGCAAUAUUUUUAUGUUUCAUGUGUAUAUAUUAAGUGCCAUAAAUAUUACUAUAGUAAAUGUGUGUGUAAUCAUUUUUUGUGCAAACAAAUGUAGGAGGGCAGCAAGGAGAAGAGAAAACUGCGCAAAUGAUGUAGCCAAACUUUUGGCUUUCUUUACAGAAUGCAAGAAACAGCAUCCACAAUUUUUUUUGAUUUCCAGCUAGACAAUGAUGGGAAAUAGUGAGUAUUUUUUGGUCACACGCAAGUAUGCAGGGGGAAUAUGCAGAUUAUGGUGAUGUUGUGACAUUUGAUACAACACACAAGACAAAUAUAUAUGAUAAACCACUGGGCAUGUUUGUUGGAGCUAACAGCCAUCUGCAGUGUACAGUAUUUGGAUUUGUUUUGUUGGGAGAUGAAACAGUACAGACUUUUGAAUGGGCUUUCAAUUCAUUCAAAACAUGUAUGGGAUGCGAGGGUCCGAGAGUUAUGCUUACAGGUAUGUGGUAUGUCAAUUUGUUAUGCAAAACAGUGAAUUAAUUUAUUGUGAAAGUAAAUUAAUAGUUUGUGAGCAAUUGCAGAUCAAGAUCCUGCAAUGCCAAUUGCUCUAAGAACUGUAUUUCCAAAAACAGUUCACAGACUGUGUUUAUGGCAUGUCCAGAACAGAUUUAUGUCAUUCCUAAAUGAGAUAUAUGCAAGGUUUGUUGUUAAGGAUUUUAAAACAACAUUCCAGUCUAUUAUACAUCAUCCAUUAACUCCUCAUGAGUUUGAAUGUGCCUGGGAAAUGAUGCUAGAGGAGUUCAAUCUUCAUAAAGAUAUGACUCUACGCAAAUUAUAUGAAAUAAGAAAAGAAUGGAUACCUGCAUUUUUUAAAAACGACUUCUGUGGGGUAAUUGUAUCUACACAACGAAGUGAGAGCAUGAACAGAUUAGUGAAGCAAUCACAUGUAGAUGCGAACACCCCACUGCAUGAAUUCGCUAAACAAAUGAUGAAAAUGUUGCACAGCAGGAAAAUGAAAGAAUCAAAGGAGGCAUUGGUGAGCAAGGUAUGUCGUGCUUGUUAUCAAUGACGUAUGGCAUACAUUUUAUGUAAAUAAAUUGUUUAAUUAUUAUAAUAAUGUCUUAUAGGGACCAAGGACAAUAGAUACAUUGUAUAGGUUCGAAGUGAGAGUCUCUAGAGCAUACACCAGAGCUGUUAUGAAUAGAUUUGAGGAAUCAAUGAAAUACACCACUGCAUACAAAAUAUUAAAGGACGCAGACAGUUGUGAUAAAGAUUGGAUCGUACAGCAUACAAAAAGGUCUAAUAAAAUUGUGUGGGGACAACAUCAAUUCAAGAUAACAGCGGACAUAGAAGCUGGGGAGUAUACAUGCGAGUGCAAACAGUGGGAACAUACAGGUUUGUACAUAUUAUGUUGAUUGAACGAAAAAAUUUGCAUACUAAAGAAUUUGUUGAUUGUAGUACAAAUUAAUGUAUAUCGUUAAAAAAUAAUGGUUGGUUUUCAUGUUUUCAGGUCUAUUGUGUGUUCAUCUUUUAAGAGCCUUCAUGCAUCUUCAAGUUGAAAAGAUGCCUUCAAAGUAUAUAUUGCAAAGGUACACUGUCUCAUCAAGAAAAGAUGUACCGUUUGAAAGAAUUGAUAAGAGCUUCAGGGGAAAUGAUGGAGUUACUAAAUCAUAUAGAUAGAAAAUGUUGUUAACGAAAACAAUGAAAGUAGUUCGCCAGGCGUGUAUGUCAAAAGCAGGGUACGACAAGGCGAUGGAUGUGUUGGAUGAGCUCGAUGGCAUUCUAUGCCGAUUAGAGCCAGAUAUUGGAUGUAAUGAGUCAUGUGAUUUUAGUGAUGAUGAGGAAGACAAGGUAAUAAUAUUCCAGUUGUUUAAGUGUUAUACUAUUUGUAACAUAUAUUAUGCAUAGUAACAUGUUAUUUGUACCAGGAAGGAGAAUUGAACAAAAAUAAUGCUGGCGAUGGGAUGGAAGAUGACAAUACAAUUACAUGCCAUAAAAUGGUAUGUAAAAGAUAAAUAUAUAAGCUUGCAUGAAGUAUUGUAUAUAAUGAAUAUAUAAAAUCAAUGUACUAAGCAAAUUUUAUUUUGUAGGAUGAGCAUAACACCAUGACUGGAUGUGAACAUGCGUUAACAUUAAUAACAGCUGGUAACCAGGUACAUAUUAAAAAAAUAUUGUUCAUUUGUCUAUAAUGAAAAUAUAUAUUUAUGCUGCAUGGAAAUGUUGAUGUAUUUGGGUUGGGCUAUAUAGGAGGACAACAUGAGAAUUCCACCUGAGGUUGGUGAUACAAGUUCUCCGUGUCACGUAACACAGGAACAAAUGGAACAUAUUGCUGCAUCCUCAGAAGCUAAAAAGGUGAGCAUUGAUAAAUGAUUUUACUGAUUGGUAUAAAGAUAAUUUAUGUAAAUAUGUGUAUACUAAAUAAUAACUUCUUUUAUUAUAUAGAGGUUGAAUUUUAAUGUGGAUGUUAUAAAUCUGAGUAUGCCGGAUCGUAUAAGACCAAAAUGACGGACAAUAAAAAAUUCAGAAGAUAGGAUUAUGAGACUAGGUGCGAAAGGAGAAAAAAAGAAGAAUAGGAGAUGCCAAUUGUGUGGUAUAGCAGAUGGACAUAACAGCAGAACGUGUCUGUCUGUGGAAGAGAACAGGGCAAGACUAGCAAAACUGGCUAAUCGAAAGAGAGGACGACCAGCCGGAUCAAGACUAAACAAUAAAACAACUGCUCCACAGUGGAAUGAAACAUCGACUGCUAAAAACAUCGUAUUGAUGAAGAAGUGGAAAAUGAAGAAGUCGAUGAGCAUAUGGAAUUGGGCGAAUAAUUUGAAGUGUGACUAAAGAGUGGCCGAUGUAGUAGAAACUUGUAAUAGCACAAUGACCUAUGUUUUAGUUUUUUGGAAAUUAAUAGUUUGCAUGACUUGGUUAUAUAAUGCGUUGAUAUAAAACUAUAAAAUGUUGCGUAAAACUAGACCAUUACACAAAUUAUGUAACUGAAUAUAUACCACAAAUUGGCAUUGAACGUUUAGCAAUCGGCAGAUCUAGACAUAAAUGGUAUAUAAACUCUAUACACUUAACAUAACUAAUCGAAUGGGAGUACAUACUUCGGUUUCGCACUACAGCUACACCAGACAGGAUGUAGCAUAACCACUGGUUACAGUUAGCAUAAUUAGCAUGGUAAAUGUGUAAAAAGGAACCUAAUGUAUAUAAAGUAAGGAAGUAUAUAGGUUGCAUAAAACUUGAAUAUUAAAGAUAAUAUGAUAAUAGAAAUACGCCAAACAUUGGACGCAAACGAUUAACCAUCUCACAAUCUGGAAAUGAAAAGCAUAGAAUUUCGUAACAGAUAACAUAACUAGACAUUCUGGUAACACUUAUGUUUGACACACUUCAAAUAAAAACUGAAACGAAGUAGCAUAGACACUGGACACAUCGAACAUAAGUGGCAUAUGGAGUAUCAUACACAUGAGCAACGCCUGACAUAAGUGACUUAAUAAGUAACAUAAACAAUUUUGGGGAUCCAUAGGGAAUCAUGUUCAGCUAUGAUAUCUAAGUCUUGGCUUUCAAACAACGCCGUCUCCUUGGAGCAUACUUGAACGGCAGCAGUUCUGCAGGGAGGGGGACAACCCUGUUGUUGCGAUGAAAGGUCAGGUAAUGCAGAACAAAGGCACGUUGGUCCAAUGGUUCAUCCUGAAAUAGUCAUAAUAUAGAAUUAAUGCUAAGAUUAAGUAUGAAGGAGUAAUAUAUGCAUGAUCAAAACACUAAUUUAGUAACAUACCGGAGUAUAAAAUUCUGAUAAGUCGCCAUCAUCAAAAUCGUAGUAUCAGAGGAAGUUUGCGACAAAAAAACCACAAUCGUUUGACCCUGGUAACAUGGUUGGACAAUUGGGAAGAAGCCCAAUCUUGUAGUUGCCAAACUUUGGUAAAGUUGAAUCAGGUCGAGCUUCAUGUAACGCAAUGCUAAGUCUUCUCAUUAUUAAUCUGGACCAAGGUAUCUUCGUUCCAUUUAUCAACAAUUGAUCAUUAUGGAUUUGUUUCCAGGUAGUGCCUCCAAGCAAUGUCCCAUAAGGAUUUGAAUCUAAGAUGUCUAUUCGACGAAGUUCAAAGUUGAUUGCAUAAAGGGUCCAGUGACUACGGCGUAGCAUAGGAACCAGGAUCUGUUAAGAUAUAUGUAUAAGUUUAUGAAUGAACAAUAAUAGGCGUAUGGAAAAUUAAAGAUAAGAUAACAUAUAACUAAUGACCAAAAGAACAUUAUAAUAUUAUUAUAAAUAAAACUGAUUGGGGCUCACCAAUUUAAUUUGGUUCAGAACUUCAUCUGGAGGAAGCGUCGGUUCAAGUUGUUCUUUAAGAAGUGAUGUUGAGAAGGGCUGGGGAUUUGAACUAUGCUAUUCGAACUCCUCGAUAUUCAAAACGGUCUGAACAAAAAAAAUCAAUUGAUUAGUAUUAUAUAUUUAUACAGUAAGGGUUGCAAUAAGAUACAAAGUUGUAGAGAGAAAAUUACCCCAACAUUGACAUUCAGUAUUAGAGUGUUGAUUACAGAAUCUGGAUUGUAUAAUACAUCAUCCUCACGAAUACAGUCGAUAAAUCCCUGCAUGAAAAUAUUCUUAAGGCAUUUAUUAGGACCAAACGACUGGACAACAUCGAGGACAGAACCUCCAAAUCCUCCAAAAUUUAUGAUAGACCUGGGAAAAAAAUAAAACUUUAAUUACAAAUCAUCUAAUUAUACUUAAUUGGAAUUUGAAUAACGAAUACAUACAUGCUCAGAUCUAGUUGUCCUGACAAAAUGAACUUAAGUAGGUUGCGAGCACAGUCUUCGCGUGACACAUGGGGAGGUUCAGCAACUGCAGAUUUAGAGGAACUAUCCCUUGCAACAAGUUCAGUAGUUGCCUAAUAUAUGUAUAUAUGUUAGUAAACAAUUGAAUAAAUAAUUAUGUAUUUUAGUGUGUAUAUAUAUGAAAAAUAUGAGAAGAUAAAACGACAUGACUUACAUCUGUCAGUGGGGUUUUAUCAAACUGUGGUGCACCAGAUACGAGAGUAUCAUGUGUAACAGAUUUUUGUCCUUCCUGGAAACAAUAAAAUUAUUAAUAUAAACGUAAUGAAACAUAGGUUAUAAUUAAUAUUAACAUAAUAUGAUGAAGGUAUAAAUACUGACGGUAUUUAUAUCUGGUGUUAAUUCAGGAGCAGCAGACUUGUCGGUUGUGGGAGCCUAGUGAAUAAAGUAAAUAAAGCAUGCAUAUAUAUUACUGUUACUUGCAUACAUUGUAAAUGAAAAUAUAAUAACUGUGAUUAAAGGAAAGCAAACAUUUGAUUUUGGAGUCUUGUCAAAUAUAGGGGCAUCCAUAACUGAAUUUUUUUACAGACGUUCCCACUGACAAUCUGUAAUGGAAACAACUGAAAUUUGAGUAAACAGUAACUUGUAUGCUAAAUAUAAUAUAUGAUUUGUAUAUAAAGUUUGUAUGAAAAACUUACAUGAUCUGAUACUUUGAUAUGAUCAGUAGGAACAUGAAUUUCCUGAUCAUGUUGCUGAUUAUCAGGUGUUGGAACAGGUGGAGAGGAUACUGGAGCAUUUGUUGGAGGCAUUGAGGUAGUGGGGGGUUAUCUACAUUUGGAAAAUAUAAUAAUAAAGUAGUUGUUAUUGAAAUGUACCAGAAAUAUAAAUGUAUCAUUAUAAAAAAAUGGUUAAACAUACACAUCAUCGCAAACUACAUCAAUACACUAUGAGGAUACAUAAAUAAAUGAGAGUUUUCAAAAAUAAAAUUAACUGAAAAAUGUGUUGCUGAUUAUAUGAGUAUAAAUUAAUGCAUAAGUUGUAUAUACAAUGCUGCAUAGAAUAAAGUAUCUGAGAUCGUAUAACUAAAUAUAAUUUCCUCGCAAUAAUUCGUGAACUUGAUUAAUUUAAAAAAUAAACAAAAAUAAUAAAACCUUCUUGCUGUGAAUCGCGUUGCGUUGCAGCUCUCAGUACUUCAUCGAUCAUUUCAUCAAAUGUUUCAGAUAGUUCAAUCUGCUUCGAAACAAUUAUUUGAUGGCUCAGCUGAAGGGAAUCACAGUAUUUAUCCACCUCUUUGUCAUGAGCAUCAAACAUUGAUUGAAAUAUUGGUCGAUGCUGGGAGGGCAAACAUUGCAACUUGUUGCCAAUCAAAUGCUUGAUAUGUGGCACAUAUAUGUUGAAAACGACAGAAACAGGCCGUUCUGGAGCAAUAACGUAACACGUUUCUGAACGGCUACGAAACUGUAUAAAGCCAAAUAGAACAAUUAGCAGUAAUAAAAUUUUAACAUCUGCAUAACAGGACAAAAAUUGUUUAUGUCUAACCUCUGCAUAACCGAAUGGUUCACCAGUUCUACGGGGGGACGUCUAUCACCCCUAGCCAAAUCUCUUAUGGUCUCAUUAUCAAAAAUCUUAAUACGGGGAGUACCAUAUUUGUUAUCAGGAGAUGCAGGGUGAUGUAAGUGAUCAAGAUAGUAAAUCUGAAAAAAAAAGAAUGCAAAAGUAUAUAAAAUUAGUACAUAACAAAUAUUUGCAUAUCAUAUAUAUGCGCAGUAAACAAAAAGAAUUACUUACUAGAACAAUGAGUGAACAUCCAUAUAUUGUUGCUGUGAUGUUUGUUUUGUUCUUUUUGUGCCAACGUGUGGCAGCAUCACACAAAUCCGUGUAAACUAGUUGACACCAGUCAAUAUCAGCCAUUCGGGGCAUGUUUGAAGUUAUUAGUACCUCAUUGUUUGUAAUGCCCCAUGAAGCAGAAAGAAAAAGAAGUCGAUUGAAUAGAAUCAGAAAAAAGCAUCUGAUUGAUAACUCAUCAUCAUUGCCAAGCACUAUCUUGUCCUGAAGCUUCACAACAUCGAAUUCUUCUUUACCAACUUUGAGAUCACGUCUCAGUUUUGCAGCAGCAUCCACUUCACCGUACCAAUCGGUAAACUCCCUGCCUCCUCCAGCACAUGGCAAACCCAAAAUCAGACGAACCGUCUCUUUUGUUAUCUUCAGUUCCUUGCCAGCCCCUAGGCGUAUGGUCAUGUCAUGUGGAUCCAAUUUAUCCAUCAACCACCUGAUGAGAGAUCUGCUCUCUAAGGCAUCAGUUCGCAAAUCAAAUAUACUAGAAAAUCCCAACCUAGCGACGGCAUCGCGCUGUCGAUCGCUCAUUAUCCAAGAUGAGACAAUAACAUCAUGAGGAAUGCAGCGGAUAUUCAAUUUCUGAAAGCAUAAAUGAAUAUGCAUUAAUACACAAAGUAUAUAUAUUGUUAUAACUAAGGGUACUAUAUUUACAUACAAGGGAUAUUUAUUAGAGGCUUGUAAAUAACUAGUCUACAACACUAAAAAGAAUAAGCAACAUAUUUUGAGAUAAUAAUAUACAUAAAUAUAAAGUGGGGGAAAAUACAAAAUUGAUUAGGCACCAAAAUUAACACAUGAAUAAACAGAAAUAUAUACAUAGUACCUGAGAUUUUCUAGGAGUCUUCUGUUUAGGAGAGCUUUCUUUGUAAUGAUAUUAGACUUGGCAUCUAUAUCAAACUUUGGACUGCUUUUCACACUCGGAACUUGUGGAGAAGGGACCUUUAUCUUCUUUGCACCAUUUUUUUGUAGGGGAAGGUGAUGUUGAUCUGAAUUGGCGCUUCAACGAUGGAGCAUCCAUGAAAUCAUCGUCGGACAGUGUGGAUGGAGCAGGAGGUUUUGUUUUUACACGGCAAGCUAAAGCCUUUCUGCGAAAACGAUGGACUGGUGUUGGUUGUGGCUCAUUCUGCUUCUGAUUAUGUGGGUUGUCAUCUUGGUGAGCUGAGCUGCUAGAUCUUGUACGUCUGGAAAUGUCAAUGGAAAAAACCUCCUGACUGGAUUCGAUGGUUAAUCUUUUUGGAUUACUUGGAGGGCGAUCAACAGUUCUCAUGAUUAAACAUUGAAUAAAUCUGUUGAAAAAAAGUUGUUUUUAAAUACAGUGAUUUAUGCAUGAAUAUAUGCCAAAAGACUCUAAUUUCUACUAUAACUAUCUACAAUGCAUACUACAUAAUGCUAAAUGGAAGUACAUAACUUAAACUACCUUUUACGUUUAUGUGACAACAUUUAAUGAACAAUGGUCAUAUACAAACAUAAAGAUUAAUUUAAUAUUUCAUAUAAUUGGAACUGGAGCAUGAUAAAGUAAGUGCCUUUUUUGCAUCAACUAACUAUACAACAUGUUUUAAUAACUGGUUCAUAGUAAUAUACACAUUUAGCUCAUAUUCAAAAAUGAAUAUUUAAAUAACUUUUGCAUAAAUAACAGUUUUUGUAUGUAUUUAUAUAUAAUAAACAGUAGUGUAUACUACUGAUUCAAUUAAAUAGAACAAUACAAUUAUGCUUAUUACCUUACAUAAACAUCUAUAUAAAUGAGCAUAGACAGUAUUGCCGAUAUGCAUAAAUAUCAAAUCCAAUAAGUAUAUUUUAUAUAUAAUACAACAGGUGUGUAAACUAAUGAUUGAAGUAAAUAGAACAAUACAAUUAUGCAUAUUAUCUCGACCAAUAUUCAAAACAUUUGUACAAAUGUGCAGAAACAGUCUUGACGAUAUGCAUAUAUAUCAAAUACAAUAAGCAUAUAUGUGUUACUAAUGUUGUAUAAAGGUACUCUCUACAAACUCAUGAAUAAAUACCUGAUCCACUGCCUUCGUCUAGGUCUAUGAAUGUCGAGAGAUACACUGGAUCUAGAAGAAAUGCAGAUGACCUAAUAUCGGGGCUCCUGAACAAAAGAUAGAUGAAAUGAGCGACGCAAUAAGCAGAUUAGAGAGAUGUAUAAUCGGAUACAAAUCGCACAUUUAGAUGAAGAAUAAGGGUUACAAUCAAAUCCACUUCAAUCAACGAAAAAUGCUUCAAGAAUCGACGGAAAACACGAUGUAUUUCAAGUUGGAUUACCUGGAACUUCUGGGAAAGCAUUGGACGCUCUUGAAUCAGGCUCCAAUGCUCGGAGAUUGAAGGAGCUCAGCUGGAUUCGAGCGGCGCUGGAUUGGAGCGGCGGAAAUCGUCGGUGAGUCGCCUCAAACGAAAGGAAGGACGACGCGGUCAGUGGGGUUUCCUUCCUAUCGACGCGGGUUUCCCUGGGCUGAUUGCGUGACGACGGUUUUAGAAACCGGGAAACAGGGGAUCGUGGCUGGGACUAACGUGGGCAACGGUGUAACGGCGCCGUGACUGGAUACUGUUGACCAGGUCUGGUUCAACCCAAAUGAUCAUAUUGACUAGCCUGGGCUUCCUCUAUUAUUGGCAGCCCAGGGCUCUUAAUAUAUAAACUAUAUAUAUUAAUAAAUAAAGUAUAUUGAGGUCCCAUAAUUUUUACAAAAGAUGAUCCCUAAAUAUUAUCACAAGUCCAAUAACAACAUUUAGCAGUUCAAAUACGUUACAUGACAGUGUUUCAUAGUUCACAAACAACAUCGAAGAUACAAAUACAGCCUCUGUCGAAGAUCGUUCCCACGGGGUGCAUUCCACUGAUAUUGUGCAUGUGCCAUAUUGUACUCCUUUAUUGAUAGCAACAUAGAGCCUGUUUGGGUCAGCUUUUUCAAGGAGCUUUUCUGAAAAUCUGGUUAUAGAAAAUCUGGUUGUGGAGAGAAUCUGAUUAUCGUGGCAAUUACAUAUGCGGAGGUCGAUAAAAGAGUCCAUAGAGUUUAUGAUGUAGAAAGUGACAGUUUCAUACUAUUGCAACGAUUUGGUCGAUUCUAUGUUUAUGUUGAUUUUGGACGGUUUUGACUAAAACGAUUCUCAUAGAAGCGAACUGAAAAGUUAAGUGUUUAGCAGUCUGCAGUAGCUUCUGACGGCCAAAAGCUAAAAAAAUCUAAAACAAAUGGGGGCAUAAUACCUUGCUCACACAUCAAUUGUGCCUUGUACUCUGCCCAAGUCUGAUAGGUCCACGCAGAAGUCACACUUCACGACUCCACCGGCAUUUGGUAGUACUCAGGGUCCUCCCAUUCAUACACCCACCUCAUUUGCUGUUGUGUCACCUCACCAACCGAUUAAUUGACAUAGGGAAGUAGGGAUGAAGAGGGAUCUUGUCUUUCGUUGCUAGAAUCGGGGUCCACUAUGCUUAUUGCAGGCCUUGGUAUCCGAUCCCUAUGCGAGUGGUCCUACGCUCCUCGGGUGUGCCAUGAUCUUCGUCUUGUGUAGUGUAUUCGUACUAGGACUCCCCUACAUAGUUAUAAAAACAUGGUUAGAUAUCAAACACUAAUUUAUUGAGAAUUAAAUGUAAUGGUACCUGUGAAAUAUAUUAGUCAUUUGAGACACACUAGCACCACCACUACCGCCACCGCCACCACCACCAGCAGUGCCACCACUAGCACCAACAUCGCUAUCGCCAGCACCACCACCAGCAUCAUCAGAAGACGUCGCUGAACUGCCAUCGACAGACUUUGGGUAUUGUGGACUUUUAUCACCACUAUCGGUCUCAUCAUUGCUAACCACUGUUUUCUUUCCUUUCUUGCUUGCUUUUUCGUAACAUGAACUGUGCCUUUCGCUAACCAACGUGAGUAUCCCCCACAUUCUUCUUUGUCCACUCAACUAGUUUUUUCUCAAGUGCCUUCAACCAUGAUGCUUGAUGGUAAUGGUGUGUCACUCUCGGUGUCCUCCUCGUCUAGCACUGGAUCCGCGUUUGAGUGACCUAUUUCCAUCCAAUGAUGGAUUGAAUUGUUUGUGUCAUAUAAGGACAACUCCAUCAACUGUGAAAAUGGACGUCCUCCCCUUGCACACUUGUGAACCCAAUUGCAUCCUUUGGGUGUAGCCUCAGGUUGUAAUUCACAUACACAAGCUUAUGGAGCUUCUGGUGCGAUAAUCUAUUCCUCACCUUUAUGUCCACCAAAGCAAACGUGCUCCAGUUGCUCACAACCACUAGAGGAACAACACCGUGAAACCAAUCUCAAAGCAAGCUUUUGUAACGUCGGAGUGUCUAAACCAAACAUGGCCCACCAUGAUACUGCAAAAAGUAGCACAUUCACAUGACGAACAAAAGCCUUAAUGUACUUGCGACAACGAGUAAUUACUUACCAGGCGAAGUGUUGUGAUCGUACGCCAUAUUUUCAGCCAAAGGUCUACCAAACUCCCAUUUUUUCUUAUGUACAACUCAACCUCCUUAGCGCUUGGGUUGUUGUAUCCACAUCAGUCGUAUAUUCGAAUGCAUGCCGAAGAUCACUCAUCACUGAAACACUAGUGCCAUACGCAUAGUGUGUCUAAGGGUUCAAAGCAAUAAUUGUUUGACAUGUAGUUAGUAUUGAUUCAUGAUAGGAAUAUUUAAAGAAACUGUAAUAACUAUAGUACUUACCACCAUUUAUAUAGGUUUGAUUUGUAAGAUCUGCCAUUCUUUUUUAUCACCUUUCUGUAUUUUUUGUACUCUACUUUCAUACUGAGAUUUAGAAGUACCUCACUAAGUGUUCCCUUCUUGUCUUCAUCAGCGAAGCGAAGAAAACCAAAUAAUGGCUCAGUUGCAUCAACCACUUACUUUCUUUUUCUAAGGGAUUUCUAUUUUUCCAAAUGAAAUUAGUUUAUUUUCUUUGGGAAAAUUAUAAUCCCUAAAAAACGGUGUUCCCAAAUUAGCAUAAAAAUGUAUUCGAUCUUUUUUUGUUUUUGUUAAAUAACAAGAUGACAUUACUUGUUUAAGAGCAUUUCCGAGAGACUUUUCAUUUUCUCUCUAUAUUUGACUUUCUAUUUGUCUUUUCUUAAAGAUUACACUUUACAUGUAGCUUCUCAUUCCAACAAACUAUCUAUUUAGUUUGGCUAGUCAGGUGGCUAGCCAAGUUUAACUAGUGAGGGAGUUCAUUUGGACUUUGGAGAGUCAGAUAGCUUGCCGAGUCAGAUAAUUAGUCUGUUGGAGAGUUAUUUUGCCGUUGAAUACCUAAAAUUUGGUUUGACUAGACAUUUAUCUAGUUUGUGGGAGAUGCUUAUUAGAUAAUCUAGAGAAUCCCUUUAAAAUGAUGGCAAAAUGGAGAAACCUAUUUUUGAUAAUGGCAGAAUUCCAAAUUUCUGAACCACCUCUCACGUGCCACCGCGUCGCUCCUAUACGACCAUUCCAUAUCCCCCUCCUCUUCCUCCGCCCGCCGCCCCCAGCCACUCUGGUUCGGGGAUAAAUUUGCCAUUAUGGAAGUCCUCAGGUGCGGCUUCGACGAAUUGUAGGCUUAGGAGAGGGAUUCGCCGUUAUGAAAAACUAGGGGACAACCCACACUCCAAAAUGGACAUGACCACUCCAUUACACAGUUCGAAAAACGAUUAGUAUCGUCGAUAUCGUCGCCGUCUCCAUCGCCGUGAGCGCCGUCGAGGUGUCCCUUCUCUCCUUCUCCUAGCAGACAUCUUCCUUCUCUCCUCUCUCGCACGGGUGUCCCUUCUCUCCUCUCUCGCACUAGAGGCAUCCCUCCUCGCACUAGAGCCACACCAGAGAGCUGUCUCGCAGCAAAGAUUUCCCCCCACUGACGUGAGAUCUGCACGGACACCGGUCGCCGCUGUCUCAGACCCGAUUCAAGGGCGCCGCCCGUGAGUUUGUGAUUGUUGUUCUUCAUUCAUUGAACUUCUCUCCCUCAGUCGUCUCCUCCCCCAACCAGAUCUAGCUCGUUGUCUUUGAGCAGUGGAUCCAGCAUGGAUGAUUUGGAGCUGUUUAAUGACGCAGACAUUGCAAUUUCUUCCCCCAAGGUACUUAUUAUUGGUCGGCCGUGGUAUGAAUCGUGUACAUUGAACCAUUGAUUUUGUAAAUGUUUGGUUGAAUUAUUGGCAGGUCCCGUAAUGUCUUCACCCCCUAGUUCAAGUUCCUUACCACUAGUUCCAUUAGGUGGUAAUACUGCUAAUAAGGUUAGUUUUGCUUCAUUUUUGUACACUAUAGUGUGGUUAGGAUUGUAUGUGAGUUCACUUAGUCAUGCAGGACAAUGAUUGGGAAUCUUUUGUACUAUCUGAUUUUUGGGAUGAGGAAGGGAGACAUGAUGUUCCAAGUGAGAUGCAGAUGUAUUCUCAACUAGGACUGAAUGAAGAGGACAAGGCAAAGGAAAAUAAAAGAGAUGAAGCUGGUUUAGGUGGUACAAGUAAUUUGGAUCAAUCGGAGCCUAUUAAUUUAGGAGACAAUAUAUAGUGAUGACCAACCAUGUGAGGACUUCCUACCAAAUGAGAAGAGGGUUAUGUAUGAUAAAAUGAAUCUGUUAAUGCAACCUGGUAGUUUGUUCCCCAACAUGAAGGAAUUUCGAAUUGCUAUGAGGCAGUAUGCCAUAAAGCAUGAGUUCGAGCUUGGAAUCGAUGUAACUUCGACUACCAGAUACGUUAGAUAUUGUAAAGGUGGUGAUUUUCAUUGGAGGAUUUAUGCACGAGAAGAAAAGAAAGGAUUACCGACCAUUGUGAUAUGUUAAUUCAAAGUUAUGUUGUGAAUUUAGGGUUUGUUUGUGUGCAAAGUUGUGAUUCGACUAUUUUUGCAGGUUGUUGUUUUGCAUGAUUCACAUACUUGCACAUCUAGUGGAAGGCGGAAGACGACUACACCAAGUUGUGGAUGGGUAACUUUUCACGCUUUACCACUACUCAUGAAGAAACCGCAGAUGGGUGCCAAGGAAUUGCAAGACACACUUCAAGGAGUUCACAAUGUCACUAUUGGUUACGACACAGUUUGGAAGGGGAAGGAGAAGGCAUUAAAAGAGUUGUUUGGCAGUUGGGAGGAGAGUUUCAAGCUACUAUUCUCUUAGAGGGAGGCAGUACUUGCUAAGGAGCCUGAUAGCAUUGUAGAGAUUGAUGUAGUUUUAGAGGAUGGGAAGUACUAUUUUCAACCGUUUCUUUUGUGCCCUAGGUCCGUGCAUCUCAGGUUUUAGGGAUGGUUGUAGACCGUACUUAAGUGUUGACUCGACCGCACUUAAUGGUAGAUGGAAUGGUCAGCUUGCUUCAGCAACCGGUGUGGAUGGGCAUAAUUGGAUGUAUCCUUUAGCAUUUGGGUUUUUCCAAUCUGAGACAAUAGAUAGUUGGAUUUGGUUCAUGUCACAAUUGAAGAAGGCUGUUGGAGAACUUAGAGUACUCGCUAUUUGUUCGGACGCUCAAAAAGGCUUAAUGUAUGCAGUGACACAUUGUUUCCCUCAUGCUGAGAAGAGAGAGUGCUUCCGACAUCUCAUGGGCAAUUAUGUCAAAAGCUACUCAGGUUCUGAACACAUGUAUCCAGCUGCCAGGGCAUAUAGGAGUGAAGUGUUUGAGCAUCAUGUCAACCAAGUAAGAAGUGUUCCUAAGAUAGCUGAAUAUUUGGAUCAACAUCACAAAUUCCUUUGGUACAGGAGUGGUUUCGACCCAUCUAUUAAAUGUGAUUACAUAACAAACAACAUGGCUGAGGUCUUUAACAACUGGGUGAAAGAUCACAAGGACCUACCAGUUUGUGACUUAGCUGAUAAGAUUAGGGAGAUGACCAUGGAGUUGUUUCAUAGGAGGAGAUGGAUUGGUGAAAGACUGCAGGGUCUGAUCUUGCCAUCUGUUAUGGCUACAUUGAAAGCUCAGACUAGAGGGUUCGGCCAUUUGACAAUUGUCAAAAGCGACAAUUACUUGGCAGAAGUGAGAGAUAGUACAAAUUGUUUGACAAAACAUGUGGUGAAGGUAGAGUCGAGACAAUGUUCUUGUGAAGAGUGGCAGCACACAGGGAAACCUUGUCAACAUGGAUUGACAGUGAUUAUUGCCCAGGAUGUAAGGAAUGUUGGUAUGGAGAACUUUGUCGAUGAUUAUUAUUCUGUUGACAAGUUUAGAAAAGCUUACAUGCGAAGGAUUCCACCAAUUGGUGACCGUUCUUUUUGGCCGAAGGUGGAUUUUUCAAAUGAAGUAUGUGCACCAAUUGCUAAAAGAGGGGUUGGGCGACAAAGGAAAAACAGAAUGAAGAGUUGUCUAGAGGGUGGCAGUGGGAAAAAAAUGAAAGGUCAUAGAAAAUGCUCAAGGAACAACAAAAAUAAAAACACAAUACACUUGUCCAAACUGUAGUCAACUAGGUCAUCGAAAAACCAGUUAUAAGUGCCCUUUAAAUGGAACAAAGAAAAGGUUAUAACUUUAUUUUUUAUUUUAUUGACCUAUUUUUGUCUUCAGUAAUUACAUAUUUUUGUUGCUUUGUAGGAAGAGGAAGCCUAGGAAGAAUACCACGAAAAAUUGGAUCCUGAAAGAGUUGCGGACUUCAACAUCACAACCUAGUGCUCCUAAUGAAGAUGUAGAAACAGCUGGUGAUGCAGAGGCGGCUGGAGAUACAGAAACAACUGUAAUAGACAAUGGUAGCCAUGAAGAUGCAGCACUAGUCUGUGUGGAGGCUGAAGAUGUAGCACUAGUCCGUGUGGAAACUCCUAGUUCUCCACCAAGAAGUGUCAAGUGGCUCGUUAAGAAAAUUACUCUGAGGAAAAACUUGAAGCGUGCUGCGCAAAGGCCGUAGAACAACAGUUGGGCAGUAGUGCUGCGCAAAGGAAAGGUGAAAGUAGCAUAGAGGGGGGUGAAUAGGCUACACCUAAAAUUUUCCACUAAAAACUUCGAGAUAGUGUCAGAUUCAAGUUGCACUGGUGCAAACCGGUUCUGUUGAUUUUGUUUACAACCGAACAAGUUUGAACCUGCUCAACUUAGAUUAUAUAAAUCGUUAAACAAAUGUGACGAAGUAGUGAAAGAUUUUGCUAAAGACUUGCCCUAGAGAAAAUCCACUCGAAUAGAUGACAAAUCGGUGUGAAUUGCUUUCACAGGAUUUGCACACAAUAUAAUCAAAUAUGAACUAACCAACCAAAUAAAGCACUUAUGAAGAACACACAAGAACACACGAUUUAACCCGAGGUUCGGCAACCACCACAAAGGUAUCCUACUCCUUGUUGAGGAGCCCACAAAGGGUCAGGUCUUUUCCAACCCUAAUCCUCCACAAGCCGACCACCGAGGUCAAGGCAAUCUCUUCUCAAAUUUGCUCAAAGAGCGGGUGAUACAAACUUCUUGGGGUCAUCCACAAAUUUGGAGACUCCCAAGCAACCUCUAACCGUCAAGGAACGCAAGGUUCCAAGAGUAACAAAUCCGCACAAGGUUAAGUUUGCAAUGAGCUCAAGAAUGAAGAGAAUAGGAGAAUCAAGAUGAAAUCAACAUUGUGUUAGAUCGACUUCACCUCACACCAAGGAUCCUUCAAACGAUUGAAGGGGAUGCGAUUUCGGGUGUGAGAGGUGAAUUGAAUGCCUUUGUUUGGAGGUUGGUCAGCCAUGAAAUCAUGGAAGGGCCAAAGUGAAUGAAGAGAGAGAGUGUGUGGGGGUAUUUAAAGGAUCCCCCAAAAGCUAGCAGCCGUUGGGAGAAGUGGACCAAAAACCGGUUGAACCGGUCCUUAAACCGGUUGAACCGGUUUCCACCAGGGGGUUCUCGGUUCACUGAGCUACUCAACCGGAGACUCGACCGGACUCAAAAUCGGUUGAGCCGGGCCCAAAUACGGUUGAAUCGGUUUUUGAAAAACUCUGCACACGACUUUUCUGACAGCUUUUGACUGUCAGACUGGCAGGACAAAGGUGGCAGAAUGAACAGUACAGAAAUCGGUUGAACCGGUAUUUGAAACUGAAGAGCAAGUUUUAAGAAAACAGAAGUGAACCAAGGUGGAACUUUUUGUGGGGAGUAAGAGUGGUUUUUCCAAGGACAUUCAAGAUCUAGAAAAGUAUUCUCUUAGAGGAUUUGAAGGAAUUUGAACUGAGCACAUUGCAUAACUUACUUAACUUAUUGCGGAUCCCUCUUAAUUGAACGACGAUUUCUAUAACUCAAGAAUAAUAAAAAGUAAACUGUCGUUGUUUCCAAGCACUUGGAGCACGCCAUAUGAUGUAGAAUUUUAAUCUGCUGUGCUUUUACAUUUGCAUACUCAUAAGAUCUGUGCUUCUCCUGUCUGUAGAAUAACUGUGUACAUGUUAGGAGCAUACUUGUUAGAAUCUCUGUUUGUUUUGUCAUUUAAUCACCAAAACCCUCAAUUAGGGUUGAUUGCACUUACAAUCUCCCCCUUUUUGGUGAUUGAUGCCAAAACAAACUAGAGAAAAGAUAAAAGUAAAAGUAAAAGCACUGGCAAGAUAUAAAUACUUGUGUAUGUGCAGCUCCCCCUGAAUAUGUGCAUGAGUUUUGUGAUAUUCAUAUUGACUUGAUAUGUCAAUUUGCAACAUAUUUGGAGAGAGUGAAAAACUAACACAUGACACAAGCACUAAGGGAUGCAACAGAAUUAUAUAAGAUGUGAUGAUAUAAAAAUAGCAUUACUCUAACAAAUCCAUCAUUGUAUAGCAUAAGAUAUGAAAUGGUACUGCUAUUACAAUAAAGGUCAUCACAUCAUUAAAUUGUUUAUGGCUCUAGGCCAUCACCGCAUGCAUCAUAGCAAGCAUAGUUGAAAUAAAGUUAUUACAGACCAGGUGUUCAUUAAAAAAUUAAAAGCCCCUGAGGGCAACCAAGCCAAACUGCCAAGCUGUCAAUCAUUCUCCCCCUUUUUGGCAACAAGCACCAAAAAUGGAGAGAACCACCAACCACAAAUCACCACUGAUGAGGAGUCAGAUCAUAGAAUUGAGACGCCAAGUUAGCCGCAAAGUUUUCUUCCCUAGACUGAGCUAGGGGGAUAGUUGCCCGAUGGAUCCUGGGGAGGAGGAUAUGAAGAAGAUUGACCCGGAUCCCCGUGAUGGGGAGGCGGGGCAAACUGCUCACGAUCAUCAAAAUAUUCUUCCUCUUCUUCAUCAUCGUCUUCUGCUGUCAUGAAGGGCACCCCAUAGGCCUGCUAGUGCCAUUCAUUGAUUUCUGGCGGAGGAGGAUGCAGAGGCACAUCAGGCGAGCGGGGAGCAAAUGGCAUACCCAUGGAAGAGGCUUGACGACGAAGGUUGUCGUCAGUCUCCUACUGACGCCUCGCCAGCUCAUGUACAUCGGAAGAUAUGUUCCUGCACAUAGAAAAGAAGGCUGCAAUACCAUGGGCCAGUCGAGCUCCCAUCCCGCGACAACGACCUCGACCACGACCACGACCACGUGGUGUGGGAGAUCCGCGACCAGGAGAGGUAUGAGGGACCGGCAGCAGCAUGUCUACGAGAGCUGGAGGGGGCUUUCCUCAGACUCCCUGCUGGAUUGUUUGGAUCAAUCUAGAAGGGGGUGUAGGAGAGAUGUCUUGUUCCUUUCUCAAAGCGAAACUGAGUCACCACUUCAAACAUCUUCAUGAUGAAGGGGCGUGAAGACAUCCCUUGAGAGGGAAGCAGGCAACAUGGAUGAUUUCUUGCUAAAUCAUAUCAAAUACAUUGAUGCUUUCAGAACUGUUUGGCUUCAUAAAUGAGAGCAAGACUUUGCUCUCUCCCAGGAUAUUCAUUUGAUUACCCCCUUUGGG
This 56685-nucleotide long non-coding RNA is filed under the name Zea mays. RNAcentral describes it as "long non-coding RNA (ZMAY_LNC001333)". The record is from RNAcentral. Lineage: Eukaryota; Viridiplantae; Streptophyta; Magnoliopsida; Poales; Poaceae.